AGGACAGUCCUGUCAAAGGAGGCAAUGUCAAACCUUCACAUCUCGCACAUCUUAACACUUCCAAUCUUCUCAAUUGAUUGAUGGAGGAUGGUAAUGUUUUUAUUCCACUUCCAGAUAUACAAAGGUUCUUCAGCAAUUCUAGAUCCCCCAUGUUCUCUGGCAAUGCUUUGACAUUCAAACAGCCUGAGAUAUCAAUGCGUGUAAGAGAUUUCAAAUUGCAGAUGCUUCGUGGAAUACUAUGCAGUUUUGAGCAGUAUCCGAGAUCAAUUUCUUUUAGACAUUUAGACUCGCCAAUGCUACUAGGAAUCUCAAUCAAGUUUCUACAUCCUAUCAAACAUAAAACCUCAAGAUUUGGGGCACUAGACAAGUCUAGAACUUUAGUUAACUCAAAAGAGUAGCUGAGGUCUAAAAAUUUCAAACUUUCAAGAGCCUGUAAUCAAAACGUCAAUAAAAUUAGCAGAAGCUAAUUAACUUUGCACAAUGUAGCUAAAUUUUAUAAAGCAGCAUAAUAACUCUAACCUUCUCUUGAUUCCAGAGUUGGAUGAGGUUGCUCCGUGGCAUGUGAAGUUCUACAAGAUUUCUUGGGCAAAAAUUUAUUGGCAAGGAUUUCAAAGGGUAGUCUUCCCAAUGAUGAUAUCUUAGCUCCUCUGGUAGAAAUUCAAGGCCACUAGGUAGAAGCACUCGUCCUGGUCUGGAUGUAGGAACAUUGAAGAAUUUGAGGAAUCUAAGAUUGCACAUGUUCAUGAAAGCUGUGGGACUUGGCUCCAAAUAUCCAUUUCCAGACAUAUCAAGUAAUAUGCCUUCAAUAUUUUCAGUUCCCUAAGAAAAUAACAACAAACAUUAUAGGCACCGCACUUAAUUCUUAAAACUGCAUAUAAAUAAUAUGUAUGUAUAAUUAAGAAUAUGCACAUUAAUUCUUCUGGUCCAUACCUUGUCUCUUGUCAAUACAUGACAAAUAUCCUUAUAUUUCCACAACCUGCUGCGUGUCCCAAGUUGUUUGGACUCCUCACAAACAACAUCCUUGCCCAUUUGUUGUAGCAAGUCAUGCAUGCCUACCUUACCAUUUGAAACAGUUAUGAGAGAUUUAUCAAUUAAACGGCUUAUCGCUCUUCUUGGAAAGAAACCACAACCUUCAAAUAUUCUUUCAACACGAUCUUUAGGCUCGCCUUUAAGGAAACAUGCAAUAUCAAGAAAUAUGCUCUUUUCAUGACGUUCUAGUCCAUCAUAACUUAUUCUCAAAACUGCCUGAAUAUUCAUAUCAGGAAUUUCUUUCAAUUUUUCCAACUCACUUUCCCAUUCUUCAAUCCCCUUAUCAUACAAAUUAGAGCCUAAAAUUUCAAGAGCCAAUGGAAUACCUUGAGCAUAUGUUAUCAACUUCUUUGAUAUUUUCACAUAUCCUUUCUUGGGAUGAUUUUGUUUGAAGGCAUCCAAGCUAAAGAGACAAAGAGCUUCAUCAUCAGUUAAUUUUUCAACCUCGUAUAUGUAUCCCUCAGAACAAACAUUUUUAAGUACUUGUCUAUCUCUGCUUGUUACAAUGAUUCUACUACCUUUGCGGUACAAAGCACACUCUCCUGCUAAAAGCUUUAGAUGUUUUGGAUCAUCCACAUCAUCAAAAACAAUGACAACCUUUUGACUCUGAAGUCUUCUCCUAAUCAAAGGGGAUAGCAGAGUUGUGCUUACAUGUAAAUCCUUUUCUCCUAACAAUUGGUUAAUGAUUUUAUCUAAUAAAACAUGUGUUUGUUUUCUCAUCUCCUCUCUGACAUUAUCAACAAAAUAGUGCCCAUCAAAUUUAUCCAUAAUUCGAUUCAAUACUUCACGAGCAAUAGUUGUCUUGCCAAUACCUCCCAUCCCCCAAAUUCCUAUUACUCUUCUAUCAUUUUUCGAUUCAAUACAUAACAAGGAUUCCACUUUCUUCAGACGUGAUUCAAUCCCAACUAAGUUGUCAUUGUAAGAAUCACUAGAGGAGAUGAGACUUAAUUUCUCCCAAACAUCAUUGGCAAUUUCCUCAACUAGUUUGGAUUCAGACCUAAUAUAUAUGAAGAACAAAUGCUAGUAAGUCAAAGCAAACCACCCUUAGAGGCUUAGACUCGCUUCUAAGUAAAUUGAUAAUACACGAUUACAUAUACAUGCAAACAAAAACAAGAAUAGUAAAAAAAUCAACAGAAUUACUUGAUAUUCCGUGAAUCCCAUCCUGCUAAAAUGCUUAUUUCCAUCAGAGCACGACGCCACUUAUCCACCUUGUCUAAACAACCUUUGACUUCUUCUCCAUGCUUAGCAACCGCAAAUGCCUCGCCGAAAUUCCCAAUGAGAUCUUGAACAUCAGUUGGAUCUACAUGGUAAAAAAUUGGUAGGACUAAUUGUCCUAAAAUUUCCUUGCAUUCAAGUAUCUUCACAAGCUCAUCCAAGCACCAUGGAGAAUCUGCAUAAUUUUGAGAGAAAACAACAAUGGAGACAUAAGAAUAUUGAAUUGUUUCCAAGAGAGCAGGUGAGAUCUCUUCUCCUUUACGAAGGUUUUCAUCCAUGAAAGGAUUGAUUUGUUUUCGCUGCAAAGCAUCAAAGAGAUGGGAGAGAAAACCCCCACGAAUAUCUUUGCCUCUAAAGCUAAUAAAAACAUCAUAUUUGCAAGGAGGGGUUGAAGAAGUAGCAUCCAUAGAUGAGUGAUGAAAGAAUGCUUGUGUAACUCCAACUGAGCUUGAAGAAUUUAAAGAGUGCAGAACGCGUUAGAUUGAGUUCAAGGAAAGAAACCAAAACUUGCUAUCUAGGCAUGUUGCUAUCUGACACUCUUCUUCUUCUUUUCGCCUCAACUUUUGCCCUUGUCCACAAUCAGACGGCUUCAGUUUUUCUACCACAUACAUUGAGUCUAUGAUGUAUAAUUUUUAUUUAUUUUAAUUUAUCUUUUAAUCUUUCUAUAUCAUUAAAUAAUAAAUUAUUAUGAAAAAUUAUAUAAUUAUUUUAGAAAUUUGUGAGAUAAUUUAUGAUAAUAUUUAUUGUAAUAUUUUUAAAAAUUAUUAUAUGUAAUUUUUGUAUAUAAAAAAAUUUCAUAUGUUCGUGAAAAAUAAAAGAGAUAAUUGUAUUGUUUUUUGUAUGUAAUUUUGAUAAUUUUAUUAAUAUUUUUAUAUAUAAAUUUUUAAUUUCAUUAUUUUUAAAUUAUAAUUAAAGAAUGCAAAAUUAUAAUUAACUAAAAUUCUUUCUAUCAUAUUGUAGAAUGACAUUUUACACACAAAUUAACUUAUUUAUUUAUAUACUUUUUACUAUAUAUUUAUUCUAUUUUUAUUUUUUAACUGUCAUUAUUUUUAUUAUCAUUUUAAUUUUUAUAUUUAAAUAAUAUUUUUUGGUUAAUAAUUUUUACCAAAAUUUAUGAUUAUAUUAUUUAUUUUUACUAAAGAUAUAAAUAAUUGUUCUUUCUUUGAUACUCAUAUACAUCUUAUUUACUGCGAUAAAUACAUGUAUAUUCGUUUCAUAAAUAAUUUGUGAUGUUCGGAGAUCCAAAUAAUAGAGUUUAUUGUGUAAAUUUGUUUCACUACUCCUGUCUAAGGCCAGACCCAUGAUGACAGUCCAUGAUCUGAAGGCUUCUAAGCCUCCCGCAUAAGCUAGGUCCAGCUCAUUCAGCCGAAGAAUCGAGCCCCGCAUGGGUUUCUCAAUCAGGUCGGUCCAAUUUAUCCGGCCCAAUGAUCAUACCUCCCCUAGGCUCAACCUUAAUCUCAUCAUCCAGCCCACCCGCCUGGUGGGUCCAUCCGCAUGCAUGCCAGAGGAGAAUUAAAUGGCCGUUACGCAUGUAACAGGGAUCUGAUAUUUUCGUACGUCCAUAUCUGUAUAGCAGAGACACGUGCCCCAAUGACAAUGAGACUGUUAUACGUCACUGACGGACAAAGGAAAAAAAUAAAAGGAGAGGAGCAUCCUUCUCUCGGACUAAGCUUACAGAACUCUUGUAAAACUCUAUUUUCUGGAUCUCAGAUUAUCAUGUUCAAUUCAUCCCCAUUUAUUACUCAUGAACCAAGUAAUGUGUAAAACGAAUCAAAAUAUAAAAGUUCCUAUAUAAGAUUAUUUAUUAAUUUUAAGUUAAAAGAUCACUUAAACAAUUAUCAUUUGAGUAAUCCAUAGACACAAGUUAUUUUUCAUAUGGAUUUCUCAGGCGGGUCAGUUUAGUGCACUUAUUUAUAAAAAAUACUUACACAUAUAUAUCUCACAUAUCUCAACUUAUGAGAUUAGUUGUUUUCUUAAAAAUAUAUAUAUAUAUAAUAUAUACUAGUUUCAAUAACUCUAAUUAUUGUUCAAUCAUAAUAAGAAUAUCGAACAGAAAUAUUUAGAGACUUUACUUAAAUACAAUAAAAAACUCACAAUUAUAAUCAUAUUAUAAUUUAUUUUACACAAUACUAUAAUCUCAUAUGGACUUUUAUAUUUAUUCAAGAUUUAAUUAACAUUAAAGAUAAAUAAUAAUUUUAUAUAGUGUAUUUAAAUAUUUAAAAUAUAUGAAUAAUAAUAUCCAAUAAUAAUCAAUAAAUUGGCUGUAUGGCAUAUUAUUAACAAUAUUCACUUACUAAUAGUCGGUAACAGGACCAGUUAUAGAAGAACAUCUAUAAAAAGAAAAUUCAUAGGAAAUAUUACUUUGUGCAUUAAAAUGUAAAUCGCUGUAGCUUACUCUUUGGAGCUGCUAAGAAUUUCUGGACAUUUUCCAAGACAAGAAACAUUUAACUAAAACGACAGAGCUUUAAAGUAAUUUAAAAAAAAAAAAAAAAGAGAUGUGAGGUUUAAUAUCCUAAAAUUCAACUAAUAUAUUUAUCGCGGAAACAAGUCCGUGAGUGCUUUAAAAUAAAUAUUAGGGAAAAUUACUUUAUAGUCCCUGAGGUUUAACGUAAUUAACACUUCUGUCCCUCUAUUUUGGCGACCCAACACUUAAGUCCCUCACUUUCUUUUCUAUCCAAAUUCAUAGUCCUUCCGUCCAAAAUAGCUGUUUGGGACACGUGAAUUGACAAAAUUAACCCUCUUCUUCUUCUUUCUCCUCUUCCUCUUCCUACCCUUUCUGCAACUUCUUCUUCUUCUUCCUUCUUGUGUAAGUUGUAUAAAAAAGUAACUAAUAACUGCGGAAUUAUGUGCAAUUGAUCUGAAAGAUGAAAUUCUACCCACUAUCUUCAAUCAGCCCUCGACAUUAAAAGCAUUUUUUAGUUUAGCCCAGAUGUGUUGAGAAGCAGUUAAAUGUUUUCCCUUUGUGGAUGUUAAUACAGCAGGCAACAAGAGAUAUGCCUGAUAGCUGUAACAGAUUCACAAAUGAACACCAGUUUCAUAGAUCUAAGAAUUACCCAUUAAAAGCAAUCAAACAAGAAUUUGUAAUCAUUAUCCCCAAACACGUCAUCCAAAUGAAAAUAUAAUUGCAAAAUCAUGAAAAACAUAUACCUGCAGAGGAACCCACCAACAAAAUCUUGUCAGUUGAUAGAUUUUCACAAACCCAUUUGCAGACAGCGAUGACAUCCUUGACUUCAGAAAACCCAGUGAGAGAAGGCUUUCCUGUGGACCUCCCAGCACCUCUCAUGUCAAAAGUGACAGCCGUGUAACCUUUCUGUGCCAACCCAAUUGCAAUUCCUUUUAGAAGAGCUUGACAACCACCCAAAACUGAAUAUGGGUGGACAAGAACAAUAACCAAUUUGUCUUUGAUCUCAUCUUCUUUGGGCUUGAAGACCCUUGUCUGGAGCUUCAAUCCAUCAUUGGUUUCUACUGUGGAGGACUCAACUGUAUGGCUUGACAUCCUUCCAAGCAAAAAAGGAUGCUCGGAAAUGGCAAUUUGAUGGAUGAAGGGAGAGAAUUUUUAAAGACCAAGAAAAUUUCUUCUUUCUUCUUUCUUCUUUCUUCUUUCUUCUUCUCUUCUUCUUCUUCCUUCUUCUGCAAGUUCUUCCUCUCCUCCUCCUUCUUCUUCUUCUUCUUUCUUCUUUCUUCUUUCUUCUUCCUUCUUCUUUCUUCUUCUUCUUCUUUCUUUUUCUUCUUUCUUCUUCUUCUUCUGGAAUUUCACAUGGAGAGAAGGGCAUUUUUGGAAAAAAUUAUCACAUCUCACCUUUGACUCUUUGACCAAACGGUUUAAAUGGACGGAAGGACUAUGAAUUUGGACAGAAGAGAAAGUGAGGGACUUAAGUGUUGGGUCGCCAAAAUAGAGGGACAGAAGUGUUAAUUACGUUAAACCUCAGGGACUACAAAGUAAUUUUCCCUAAAUAUUAUAGGCUUUACAAGCUAAAUCACUUAUGUUUAGCUUAAAUCAGUCCAUGAAGAAACUGCAGGAUACGUGAGGGCAGCUGGUGAUGCAUGCAAUUAGCAGAAAUAAACUGCUUAAAAACAAGGAAAAGGAAGUGUAGAGGAUGAUUGAAACUGAGGGAUGAGUAGGUGGCCUAAUGCAUAGACAACGUUUAUUGACUAAAAAGACAUUGCAUUUUAUAAUGAUUUGGGCAGGUGCCAGGUGGAUAAAUUUUCAUAAACUUUUGUCUUUUUUACCUUACUAUAGUGGCUAGACAUUUCCGAGAUGGUGAUUGAUGAAUGAUAAGAUAUAUAAAUGAAGUGAUAGAGCUCUCUCCUUGUACCUUCCUACUUCAAUCUGCUUUUUCUCUCCGAUUUUCUUUUUUCUGAUUAUGGAUUUCACUAUCAUAGCAUGAUAAUAAAAGGAUCUGUUGCAUAGCCUGUCUAAUUUUUCUUUUCCUAAAUAAUAUUAGGAUUUUAUUCAUAUAAAAGGGAGUACAGCCCAUAAUAAACAUACCAAAACCCUAGACCCAGCCAUGCCUAAAAAGAAUAUGACAACUACAGGUUACUAAAACUCACAAGAAAAAAAGUCCCAAGAGACAACCAAAUCCUAGCACCCCUGAUCCAUCUUGACUCGAUCUAAUCCAGCUGAAAGUAGACUACACCGCCGCUAUCUCUGGAGGACGUCAAUCAUCAUGUUGGCAGUACCAAACAAAAAGGAAAAAACUCUCUAUAAUAUUUGUGAAGGCCAUACAAUGUUUGAAGAAGCAUAGGAGAGGAAGAGAACCCACAAACCAUCAACUUUGAAUGCAAGAACAGUCGGAGAAAUGUGGUCGAUAGCUGACAGAAGCACAUGCAGAAAUGGAUCAAGACAUACAGAAGGAGGUCGGUUCUAAGAGAGAGGAGACGUCCUCAAUCGCACCACCUUCUCACUGUCCGAGUCAAGGGAGAAAAACUGUUAAAUUUGGACCAGGCCUAACUCACCCCAAAAGCUAGCUAUGACCAAUAUAAGGGGCACAUUACCCCUUUUCAUAACCGAUGUGGGAUUCAACACAUCCCCUCAUGCCCACUCAACAUCGGAUGGGGAGGUUCUGAUACCAUGUUAAAUUUGGACCAGGCUUAACUCACCUCAAAACUCAAAAGCUAGCGGGGCACGUUACCCCUUUCCAUAACCGAUGUGGGAUUCAACAAAAACCCCUUAAAAACAGAUAUGCAAAAGAAGAAAUAAAGGUAUUCCGUUGAGACGCCGCCCAACCAGUUCUUCAUCAGCCCUCCCAUGAAAACCCAGAAGGGGAAGAUCUCAAAAUCUAUAAAACAAAGCAAAAACACAAAAAGAAUAGAACCCAAAGAAACAACAGCCAAAAUAGUCUCUAAUGCGCCGCUGCCAAUAAUCCAAAUAACAAAAGUAAAAAACUAUCUACAUCUCUCUGGGAGAGAAGCGAACCUACAGCCGGGCGAAAAGUGGAUUCCUUUCAUCUAAAGGACAGGGGAAACCUCCAAUUGAGGCAAACAACCAACAAGACCUGAACUAAUAGAGGCCAGAAACCUCAACGGAAGGUAAACUCUCUCCUCAAAUGGGAGAGAGAGUCAAGUGCCUGUAUUAGUUUAGCGAUUGAAGUUAUAUGACUAGCUUGAUAAACUUAGGGAUCCGACUUUACCCCUGAAUUAAAUUCGUGAGUGCUUUUGAAGAUNNNNNNNNNNNNNNNNNNNNNNNNNNNNNNNNNNNNNNNNNNNNNNNNNNNNNNNNNNNNNNNNNNNNNNNNNNNNNNNNNNNNNNNNNNNNNNNNNNNNNNNNNNNNNNNNNNNNNNNNNNNNNNNNNNNNNNNNNNNNNNNNNNNNNNNNNNNNNNNNNNNNNNNNNNNNNNNNNNNNNNNNNNNNNNNNNNNNNNNNNNNNNNNNNNNNNNNNNNNNNNNNNNNNNNNNNNNNNNNNNNNNNNNNNNNNNNNNNNNNNNNNNNNNNNNNNNNNNNNNNNNNNNNNNNNNNNNNNNNNNNNNNNNNNNNNNNNNNNNNNNNNNNNNNNNNNNNNNNNNNNNNNNNNNNNNNNNNNNNNNNNNNNNNNNNNNNNNNNNNNNNNNNNNNNNNNNNNNNNNNNNNNNNNNNNNNNNNNNNNNNNNNNNNNNNNNNNNNNNNNNNNNNNNNNNNNNNNNNNNNNNNNNNNNNNNNNNNNNNNNNNNNNNNNNNNNNNNNNNNNNNNNNNNNNNNNNNNNNNNNNNNNNNNNNNNNNNNNNNNNNNNNNNNNNNNNNNNNNNNNNNNNNNNNNNNNNNNNNNNNNNNNNNNNNNNNNNNNNNNNNNNNNNNNNNNNNNNNNNNNNNNNNNNNNNNNNNNNNNNNNNNNNNNNNNNNNNNNNNNNNNNNNNNNNNNNNNNNNNNNNNNNNNNNNNNNNNNNNNNNNNNNNNNNNNNNNNNNNNNNNNNNNNNNNNNNNNNNNNNNNNNNNNNNNNNNNNNNNNNNNNNNNNNNNNNNNNNNNNNNNNNNNNNNNNNNNNNNNNNNNNNNNNNNNNNNNNNNNNNNNNNNNNNNNNNNNNNNNNNNNNNNNNNNNNNNNNNNNNNNNNNNNNNNNNNNNNNNNNNNNNNNNNNNNNNNNNNNNNNNNNNNNNNNNNNNNNNNNNNNNNNNNNNNNNNNNNNNNNNNNNNNNNNNNNNNNNNNNNNNNNNNNNNNNNNNNNNNNNNNNNNNNNNNNNNNNNNNNNNNNNNNNNNNNNNNNNNNNNNNNNNNNNNNNNNNNNNNNNNNNNNNNNNNNNNNNNNNNNNNNNNNNNNNNNNNNNNNNNNNNNNNNNNNNNNNNNNNNNNNNNNNNNNNNNNNNNNNNNNNNNNNNNNNNNNNNNNNNNNNNNNNNNNNNNNNNNNNNNNNNNNNNNNNNNNNNNNNNNNNNNNNNNNNNNNNNNNNNNNNNNNNNNNNNNNNNNNNNNNNNNNNNNNNNNNNNNNNNNNNNNNNNNNNNNNNNNNNNNNNNNNNNNNNNNNNNNNNNNNNNNNNNNNNNNNNNNNNNNNNNNNNNNNNNNNNNNNNNNNNNNNNNNNNNNNNNNNNNNNNNNNNNNNNNNNNNNNNNNNNNNNNNNNNNNNNNNNNNNNNNNNNNNNNNNNNNNNNNNNNNNNNNNNNNNNNNNNNNNNNNNNNNNNNNNNNNNNNNNNNNNNNNNNNNNNNNNNNNNNNNNNNNNNNNNNNNNNNNNNNNNNNNNNNNNNNNNNNNNNNNNNNNNNNNNNNNNNNNNNNNNNNNNNNNNNNNNNNNNNNNNNNNNNNNNNNNNNNNNNNNNNNNNNNNNNNNNNNNNNNNNNNNNNNNNNNNNNNNNNNNNNNNNNNNNNNNNNNNNNNNNNNNNNNNNNNNNNNNNNNNNNNNAUUAUCAUCCGCGGCACUGACAAAUUCAUCAUCUCGUACCGUUUCCACCAACAAUUUCAAAGCCUCCAACCGAUUAUAUUUAACACAUAAGUGCAAGAUUGUCUCUCCAUUAUCCAUCUUCUCUCUUAUUGACUCAGGACAAACGCUGACUAAUUCCUUCACAACUGCAACUCUUCCUUUCAUGGCAGCUAAGUGAAGUGGGAUUCUUCCAUCUUGAUCACGUGCCCAGCAAGCAUCAGGAUUCACAGUUACCAACUCUUUAACAAUAUGGGAUUAGCCUUCUGCAGAAGCCAAGUGAAGAGGCAAGCGGCAAAGAGAGUCUAACUCCUCGGCUAGUUUGGGCUUCAGAUUGAGGAGUGCUUGAGCAAACGGAAGGUGACCUCGCAUGGCUGCAAUGUGCAAGGGAGUUUCAUGAUAGGAAGUAAUGGUGACCCUAUCAAGAAGGAGUUCAUCUUGUUGAAGCAACGCAUCUAAUUCAGCUACAUCCCCUUUCAGUGAUGCUUGAUAAAUGAUAAGCUGGUCAUGCUCGAUUGAGUUGUUGAGGUUCUCUAUAGACAUCCUAAUACGCAGAAGGCGGUGGUGAUGAGGGCUUUUGGUUAGAGGGCCUUUGCUUCUUUAUGAAAUUAAUGACGGUGGUAAUAUAUACAGAGAGUUGAUGACCAAAGUGGCCAAUAUUUAUCACCUAUUAUCUUCCAUAUAUUUUCAUAUUAUAAAUUAAAAUUGAUAUAUUUUAUCUCUAACAGCGUAAAAUUCAUGUAACUUUUUAUAAAUUUACCGUGUAUUCUUUUAAAUUAGAAAAAUAAAAUCAAAACGUAAUUUGGUUGACCAAACGUGUCACUUCAAAGUCAACAAGUGCCGUGCUAGAUAAGCCAACAGGACUCUUCCUGGAAAAUGAUACCUAAAUCGAAGUCCGCACAAAGUGGAGUAGUGGUUCGGACCACCAUAGAAACUUCAAGGAAAGAAACCCAAAACUUACUAUCCAGGCAUGUUGCUAUCUGACACUCUUCUUCUUCUUUCCGCCUCAACUUUGCCCUUGUCCACAAUCAGCCGGCUUCCGUUUCUCUACCACAAAUUUAUAUUUGUCAUAUACAUUGGGUCUAUAAUUUCCAAUAAUAUUAGCCGUGUUCGUUUGACCAGCGAGAAGUGCUGUUGAGGAAUAAUAAUUUCCUUUUUAUUUUAUCAUUUAAUUUUUCUACAUUUUAAAUAAUGAGUUAUUAUGGAGAAUUAUAUAAUUAUUUUAAAUUGGAGUUAUAUGUCUUUUAAAUUUAUAAAAUAUUUAUAAUAAUAUUUAUUUUGAUACUUUCAAAAGUCAUAUGUAAUUUUUGUGUACAAAAGUAUUUCAGAUCUUCAUAAAAAGUAAAAGAGAUAAUUUGAAUCUUUUUCUUCUUCAAUUUUCUAACAGACUUAUGAGUGUGAAUUUUUUUUUAUGAGUGAAUUUCUGAUUUUUGAGUUUGAAAAAUAGAACAACACAGAAAUGUUGUUUAGUAACAAUUUUAUGGGAAUGGGUCCUCCAUUGUUUAAUGGAAAAAAUUAUUGUAUUUGGAUAAUCAAAAUGAAAUCUUAUUCAGAGUUUUUUAGUUUGUGGGAUGUUGUUGAAAUUGAGCAUAUCCACUUAGCUUUGUAUCUAGUCCAACUCUAAACCAAAUCAAGAAUUAUGAAGAAUUGAAGAAAAGAAAGCCGAGAGUUUUGAUGUGUUUGUGUGCUAAUUUAAUGGAUAUGAUUUUUACUAAAAUUAUGAAUUGUGAAAUUCUAAAGGAAGCAUGGAAUAAACGUAAGGAGGAGUUUGAAGGAAACGAUAGAAUAAAGAUCGUUAAACUUCUCACUUUAAAAAGGCAAUUUGAGAUGUUUCGGAUGAAAGAAGGUGAAAUGGUAAAAGAAUAUGCUGCAAAGUUGAUGGAUUUGGUGAAUAAGAUUAGAUUGUUCGAGAAGUAAUUUCCACAUUUUAAGUUGUGGAAAAAAUGCUAAUUAAUUUGCCAUUAAGGUUUGAGCCGAAGGUGUCCGCUAUCGAAGAAUCAUGUGAUCUGACUAAGAUGUGGUGAACUUAUCAGCAAAUUACAAGUCUAGAAGCAGAGGUCUAAUUUGAAGGAGAGUGAAAGCAGUAAAAGGGCUUUUCAAGCCAAACAGAUCAAAAAACAAUAUUUUGACCGAAAUCAGAAUACUAUUUCAGAUCAGCGAUCAGAAAAGGAAAAACUAUUCCAACAAUAAGCAAAGGAGGAAAAGGCAAGUUUUUGCCUUAUUCUUUUUUUUUUUUUCAUAAAACUAAUCAUUUGAUAAAGGAUUAUUGGGCUAAAGACAAAUUUAAAAUUCAAGGUAGAUUUUGCAAGAUGUAUGGUCAUUUUGAAAAAUUUUGCAUAAUAAAGCAGAAUCAUAUCACUCUUCAGAAUAUAAAUUAAAAUUCUAAUUAACAGGCUAACUAAGCAUGAUCUGAUUCUUAACAUGUUCAUAACUCUCACUCAAUCCCAUUAAGAAUUUAAUAAGCUCAAAAUUAGUCAUGAUUUUAGCAAAAGGCCAAUUCAUUCUAUAAUUUUUUUUCUUUUAAUUUGGUUAAUUUUUUUAAAAAAAUUUAGUAAAGGAAACUAUGAUAGACAUGUUUAAUCAGGUAAACUACUUAUCUUUUUCUUUAACUGGUUAAAAAGUGGACCAUUUGCUUCACCGAAUGUUUUCUUGAUCUCUUCCCACAGCUCUUUUGCAGAGGUAGCAUAGAGAAAUGCUUCUACCAAUUCCUUUGAGAGAGAGUGAAGGAUCGUUGUCUACUUUCAGCUAUUUCUCAUAAGAGGCUGAAUCAAUAUUUUACAUUUUGCAUUUAUGAGACGAAGCUUAUCAUUCGCUUUAAGAGCAAUGAUCAUAGGUCUACUCCAUAUGAGGUAGUUGAAGAAGUUCAUCUUGUUGAAGAGUUCAUCUGAGUUCAUCUUGUUGAAGCAAUGCAUCUAAUUCAGCUACAUCCCCUUUCAGUGAUGCUUGAUAAAUGAUAAGCUGAUCAUGCUCGAUUGAGUUGUUGAGGUUCUCAAUAGACAUGCUAAUAGGCAGAAGGCGGUGGUGAUGAGGGCUUUUGGUUAGAGGGCCUUUGCUUCUUUAUGAAAUUAAUGACGGUGGUAAUAUAUACAGGGAGUUAUUUAUCACCUAUUAACUUCCAUAUAUUUUCAUAUUAUAAAUUAAAAUUGAUAUAUUUUAUUAAUAACAGCGUAAAUUUCAUGUAACUUCUCAUAAAUUUACCAUGUAUUCUUUUAAAUUAGAAAAAUAAAAUCAAAACGUAAUUUGGUUGACCAAACGUGUCACUUCAAAGUCAACAAAUGCCGUGCUAGUGCUAGAUAAGCCUAAAUCGAAGUGGGCACCUAGUGGAGCAGUGGUCCGGACCACCGUAGAAACUUCAAGGAAAGAAACCCAAAACUUACUAUCUAGGCAUGUUGCUAUCUGACACUCUUCUUCUUCUUCUUUCCUCCUCAACUUUGCCCUUGUCCACAAUCAGCCGGCUUCCGUUUCUCCACCACAAAUUUAUUUUUUUUUUUCACAUUCAUUGGGUCUAUGAUUUCCAAUAAUAUCAGCCAUGUUCGUUUGACUAGCAAGAGGUGCUGUUGAAGAAUAAUAAUUUUUUUAAAAUUUUAAUUUAUCUUUUAAUUUUUUUAUACUAUUAAAUAAUAAAUUAUUAUGAAAAUUUAUAUAAUCAAUUUAAUUCGGAGAUUUACAAUAUAUUUAUGAUAAUAUUUAUUUUAAUAUUUUUAAAAAUUACUAUAUGUAAUUUUUGUGUAUAAAAAGAUUUCAGAAGUUCCUGAAAAAUAAAAGAGAUAAUUUGAGUCUUUUUUUUGUAAUUUUUUAAUGUACUUGUGAGGGUAAUCUUUUUUUCGAGUGAAUUUUUGAUUUUUGAGUCUGAAAAAUAGAGCAACAGAAAAUGUUGUCCCGUAAUAAUUUUAUGAAAACGGGUCCUCCAUUAUUUAAUAGAGAAAAUUAUCAUAUUUGGAUAAUCAAAAUGAAGUCUUAUUUAGAGUUUUUGAGUUUGUGGGAUGUUGAAAUCAAGCUGGUCCAACUUGCCUUGGUCCUAAUCUAACUCCAAACAAAAUCAAGAACCAUAAAGAAUUGAAAAGGAGAAAGUCGAGAGUUUUAACGUGUUUGCAUGCUAGUUUGACGGAUAUGACUUUUACUAGAAAUAUGAAUUGAAAAACUCUAAAAGAAGCAUGAAAUAAAUCCAAGGAGGAGUUUGAAGAGAGGGAUAGAGUAAAAAUCGUUAAGUUUUUCACUUUAAAAAGGCAAUUUGAGAUGCUUAAUAUGAAAGAAGGUGAAACGUAGAGGUGAGUAUUUGGUCGGUUUGGUUAAAAAUAAAACUGAACCGAAUAAACCGAAAACUAAAAUUUUAGUAUUUAUGAAAAUCGAACAAAACUGAUUUUGGUCAGAAACCGAAUCGAACCGAACCGAUUUGAUUCGAUUCGAUUCGGUUCGGCUUGAUCGGUUUCAAUUUUUAAUAAUAUUUUUUAUUUUUUACACUUUAUUUUUAAUAUUUUAAAAUUUAAUUAAAAUAUUUUAAUUUUAAUAUGAUUUAAUUUCUUUAUAUUAUUGAAAAAAUAUAUUAUCACUAAUCGGUUCGGUUCUAUUUUUUCGGAUUAAAAUCGAACCGAAUCGAAAUAAUUGAAAUUUCUAAAAUUAAAAAUCAAAUCGAACCGAAAUGAAUAAAAAGCCGAACUAAAUUUUUAAAUUAAUUCGAUUUGAUCAAUUUUUUCGGUUUGAACCGAAUACUGCUCAAGUCCAGUGAAACGGUAAAAAAAUAUACUGCAAAACUAAUGGAUUUAGUGAGCAAGAUUAGAGUAAUUUCUAUAUUUUAAAGUUGCGGAGAAAAUAUUAGUUAAUUUGCUAUCAAAAUUUGAACUAAAGGUGUUCUUAUCAAAAAAUCUUGUGAUCUGAUUAAGAUAUGUAUGGUGAACUUAUCAGCAAAUUACAAGCUCAGGAGUAUAGGUCUAAUUUGAGGAAGGAUGAAAGCAGCGAAUGAGCUUUUCAAGCCAAACAAAUUAAAAAAUAGUAUUUUGACCAAAAUCAUAUUAUUAUUCCAAGAUAAGUGAUUAGAAAAAAAGAAAAUCUAAGGCAAGUUUUCGUCUUGUUCUUUUUUUUUUUUUCUAAAAAACUAAUCAUUUAAUAAAAGAUUGUUAGACUAAAGACAGAUCUAAAAUUGAAUGGAAAUUUUGCAAGAUGUAUGAGCAUUUUGAUAAAACCACCCUUUGAGUGAUACUUGAUAAGUGAUGAGCUAGUCAUAUCCGAUUGGAGAGUUGAGGUUCUCGGUAGACAUUCUAUGUUAGCAUGAUUAUAAAAAUCAAUUUUUGCAUGAUUUAGGAGAUUUAUUUAGUAUAAUUAUAGCAAUUAAUAUUAUUAUAUUAUUGUAUGAUAUUUUAUACGCAAAUUAAUUUAUUUAUUUAUAUUUUUUUAUUAUCAUUAUUUUUAUUAUUAUUUUAAUUUUUAUAUUUAAAAAAUAUUUUUUGGGUAAUAAUUUUGACCAAAAUUUAUGAUUAUAUUAUUUAUUUUUACUAAAGAUAUAAAUAAUUGUUCUUUGUUUGAUACUCAUAUACAUCUUAUAUCAAAUUAUAUAUAUAAAAAAAAUUAAAACUAUUAAUGAUGAAAUGCAAAGCACUGUUAUUAACAACAAAUUUAACUAAAAUUACACCAUUUUAUUACAUAUUCAAGCUGAUAUUAAAUAUUUUCAAAAUUUAGACUGUGACAGAAAUUUUUUUUAUAAGAUUUAAAGAUAUAUGUGAUAACCGUUGGGUUUUACAUCUCCCUGAGUCAGGCCGGAUUCAAGAAGAUACGAUCGGUUCAAAGUCUGAAAGAUACCCUAGGAUCACUCAACCCGAUCUCUCCAGGCCGGAUUCGAGGGAAUGAAAAACGAGUUAGGACACACAUGGGCUCAGUUUAGCAGAUCGAAGAUUGGCCCAGUGACAUGACAAGAGGUAGUACGGCGAACUCGGUCACUUCACAGCCUUUCCCGUUUGCACACCGGAAGGCAUUAAAUAGCCACCUGACACGGAGUGGACAUAUGAGAAUGAAUACUUAUGGAUCAGUGUGUAGCAGAAAAAGUUCGGUCAAAUGGGAACAAGGAUAAGAAGGGAGGAGAUCAUCCGAGAAAAUCAAGUUUUACACCCCCAUACUGUAGAUCAUACACUUUUCUGGAUUUCAGAAUAUCAAUAUGUUUAUGUAUUUUUUAUCCAAUGAAGAAAUAUGUAUGAUCGUUUAUAUAUAUAUAUAUAUAUAUAUAUAUAUAUAUAUAUAUAUUAUCUAAAAAUGUUCUAAAAAUUCAAAAUAUGCUUUUUUCAAUUUUAUUUUUUUUUUAUCAAUUUUAGUCUAAUUUAAAUUUUUUAAAUCAAUUUUAAUUUAUAGUUAAAAUUGAGAUCGAAAGUCAUUGAGGUAGUGACUCAUCACAUGGUAUGAAUAUUAAUAUUAUAAUUAUUAUAGCUGACGUGACUAAGAGUUUUAUAAUAAAAAAUUUAAAUUUUUUAAUUUUUAUCAAUUAUAAUUUAAUUUUAAAAUUUAAUUUCAAAUAUAAUCAACUUAUUAAUUUUAAUUUAAAUUAAUAAAAAAUAAUAUUUUAUUACUUAAUAAAACAAAAUUUUAGUAUAUUUAUUUAUUUUAUAUAUAUUAUACUAAGUAAAUAUAAUAAUUUAUCACUAUAUAAUGUACAGUUUAACUUUAAUAUAACAAUUUUGAUUAAUUAUAUUUUCUUUUUAAGAAAAAUAUGUAUUAAAAUUAUGCUCGCAAUUUCUCGUUAUUAUUUUAGAAAAUAUUUAAAUAUAAAUAUUUUAAAUGAUAUACAGAUGUAUUUAAAUACUUAUUUAGCACUCAAAGAUAAUUUAUUUUUUUAAAAGAUAAUUUAUUUUUAGAUUUUGAGAAUUUUUUAACACUAUUAAAUAUAAUUGUAUUAAUAUUUUUAUUUUUUAAAUGAUAAUUACAGAAUACAUAAUAAAUUUGAUUCAAAAAAAAAAGAACACAUAAUAAAUUAAUUUUUUUAAAAAAUUAUUAAAAAUAUUUUUCGAAUUUAAAUUAUUUUCUGUGGUGUAAAUAAAUCUAUUUCAACUGAAUAAAAGUUAAUUAAAAUUUUAAAUGGCAGAUAUAAUGAUUGAUUGGACAGAUCAUUAAAGCUAUGGUAAAGGAGUUUUAUUAAAUUGGAAUUAAUUAAAAAUAAAACUUUUUCGUAAGCAUAUGAAUAGAUUAAUUUACAGAUUUUAAAUGUUGGAUCAAUUUUUUUAAAGGCAAAAAAAUUGUAUUUUUAAAAUUAUUAAAGUAGCGAAAUUAUAAAAAAAUUAUAAAUAAUAUAAAUUAUAAAAAAUUAAUUCAGUUUAAUUACAGUAUUUAUUUAAAUUCAUAAUAUUCCAAACAUAAUAAUAUUACUAAAAUAAAUAAAUUUCUUAACUUUUCAAUCCCUAUUUAAAAAAAAAAACAAUCAUAAAUUUUUUCGUUUUAAUAAUUUUAUCCUUUUUUUUCAUAAUAAAUUUAUUAUAAAUUAUGCUCACAUACUUAAUUUAAAAGUUAAUGCUAACUAGAAUUUAAUUUAAGUCUAAGCUUUCUUUAUAUGUGAAAAUAAUUUAUAUUUAAAAAUAUUUUAAUAAAAUAACUUAUUUUCAAUUUUUUAAUUUUAAUUUAAAAAUAAAAUAUUUUAAUAAAUUUAAAAAAGUAAUUUUUUUCCUGAAAUAACUUAAUUUUUUUAUAAAAAUUAUUUUUCAUUAAUUAAUUUUUAAAUAUUAAAAAAUUUGAAAAAUAAUUUUAAUAAAACAAUUGAAACCUAAAUAAUGAAUAAUGGUUGAGGGUUGAUGUGACACUAGAGCGAUGUUUAAGAAAAGUAAUUAACAUUAUAGCAUACAACUUGAUGAUCGCUGGAUUUUUCUACCUCUACAAAGAGCCUAGUCCACCAUGAAAAAUCCAAUGAGCGAAGGCCCACACACCUGGUAUGCGGAGUAAGCCCGGCUCGUUCAACCUUCGAGGCCGGGCUCGACCAAGUUCUCUUACUCAGAUCGGCCCAGUCCGAGCAAUCUCCUAAGCAAAUCCCUUUCUCUCGGGCCCAUCGUCCAGUCCAACUCUUGGCCCAGCCCAGGAUCAAGAAGGAUAUUCACGGGACAGCCUGGCAGAUUCGCUCAACUGUACGCACAGGGAGAAUCAGAGGCCGUUACGCAUGGAGCAGGCGCCUGAUACUCUCGUACGCUCGAAUCUGUAUGGCAGAGACGCGUGGCCCACUCAUGAGGAGGCUGUUACACGUCACCACCAAGCAAGGCGAAAAGGAUAAAAGCGGAGUCCCCUCCCCAGAAAGUUUAAGUUUAUGAUUCAAGACAAAACCCUCUUGUAAAACCCUAUUCUAUUGGAUCUCAGAUCAUCAAGUGGCGCCGUCUGUGGGAAACGAAGGAGAUCUUUUCAUCACCGGAGUUUCCCUUUUAAAAACCCACUGAGAUCCACGAUGGCAAACCAGCAAGAAAACAACCUUCAUGUCCCAAAUGAUUUGAGCUCUGCCCAGGAGGGGCAGCAGUUCUCCUUUUCUAGUCCUACAGCACUAAAUAACCAAACGCCUAUCCCCCUCAACCCCUCGCCAAGCUUGGCAGGAAACACUCCUAUUAUGACCCUGUCUAAUCAGGACAUUCAAACCAUGGCUCUCCAGUUACAGAAUACCGCUCACUGGUUGGGGCAGAUAAUGCAACAGAGGGGCCUUAGCACCCCAGUAAAUACACUUCCGGUGGUAGAAGAACCUCGUACGAAUGAGCCCCGACCUACCUCUGACCGCCCCCAGAACAGCAGCUGCGAUACCGGGGAAAAAGGAAGAAGAGCCGGGGAAGAAGAAGAACCGGAGGCCCGAAUCCAUGGGAGGAGAGCGAGAGAGAUGAUAGAAAACGAGGAGGCGGACAUUCAUUCCGCCGAGACGACCUGGAGGAUAGGAACUGAAGCAGAGGAGGAGGAAUACGGCUUGGAGAGAAGAGUUAGCCCAGAAGAUGAGAAGAUGAACCAGAAGUUGAAAAGGUUGAAAGAGCAGCUCUUAGCCGAGCUAGGCAAGCAGGACCAGAACCAAACCUCUUUGCCUACUUCCUCCCCUUUCUCAAAGUGGAUGCAGCAAGAAACUGUUCCUAAGAAGUUUAUGAUGCCGUCGAUGGCGGUCUAUGACGGAGCUGGUAACCCGAGGGAGCAUGUCAUGAACUAUAAGACCUUCAUGGAGUUACAAACUCUGUCAGACGCCUUAAUGUGUAAGGUGUUCCCAACGACGCUCUCGGGACCAGCACGGGCGUGGUUCAACAGCCUCGAGGCCGAAAGUAUCAGAAGUUUCGGAGAUCUAGCAACCCGCUUCAUCAGCCGGUUCAUAGCCGGAGUGCCAGCAGAAAGGAGGACGAGUUACUUGGAAACAGUAAGACAGAGAGGAGAUGAGUCACCCAGAGAAUAUGUCGCCCGUUUCAAUACGGAGGCCUUGCAGAUUCCCGAGCUUGAUGAAGGAAGGGCGGUAGAGGCCAUGCAAAAGGGGACAACCUCUGCCGAGUUCUUUGGCUCGCUAAGCAGGAAACCUCCGGCCUCAUUGGCCGAGUUGAUGAAGAGAGCGGAGAAGUAUAUAAGGCAGGAUGAUGCCUUGGUAACAAGUCGAUUUGCCAAAGGAAAAGAAAAAGCCCCGGAGGAGAAGAGACCGGAGAGACACGAGAAGAAACAUGGUAAGAGGUUCGCGCCAUACAAGCAGGCUUGGGAGCGUAGAGAUCAAAGACCUCCCCUUCCUGGGGAGCUCGAGUCAAGAUUGCCCCCUCCUUGGGUCCCCGAGAAGCCGACCCCCCUCAAUGCCUCUAGAGCCGAAGUGCUCAUGGCAGUCCAGGAUAAGGAGUUCCUCCAGUGGCCCAAACCCAUGAGGUCGGAAGCAGACCAAAGGAACCCUGACAAAUAUUGUCAGUACCAUCGGACGCAUGGCCACGAUACAAAUAACUGUUUCCAGUUAAUCGCAGAAAUUGAGAGACUGAUAAAAAGAGGGCAACUGAAGAAUUUUGUAAAGAAACCGGAGGGACAGAGGCUUCAACCCGGUCCGGCGACUCAGAUGCCUAGGAGAACGGGAACGGGACCUGUGAAUGAUAGAUCCAGUGGAACCAUCAACAUGAUUGUGGGAGGAACCGGAGGGCGGAUGAGCCGCCGAGGAAAGAAGAGAAAUCGGGAAGGAGAGACCAGCAAUGGGGAAGUCAUGCAGAUCGUUGACCACUCCUCUGUAACCAUCACUUUUUCUCCAGAAGAUGCCCAGGGUAUUCAGAUGCCCCAUGAUGACGCGCUCGUCAUAGAAGCCGUCAUUCAUAAUUAUCGGGUAAAGAAGGUCCUAGUGGAUGAUGGGAGUAAAGUCAACUUGUUACCGUACCGGGUCUUCCAGCAGAUGGGAAUUCCAGAAGAGCAGCUGGUUCGAGAUCAGUCACCAAUCAAAGGGAUCGGAGGAGUACCGGUGCUUGUAGAAGGAAAAGUUAGCUGGCUCUUACCUUAGGAGAAGCGCCCAGGACUCGCACCCAUCAUGAGGUAUUUUUGGUGGUCAAACUUCCGUUGAGCUAUAAUGCAAUUCUGGGGAGGCCGGCGCUGUUCAAUUUUGAAGCUGUCACUAGCAUCAGGUAUUUGGUACUCAAGUUCCCGACAAAGGAAGGAGUGGGAGUAGUCCGGGGUAGCCAAGAAGAAGCAAGAGCAGUAUACUUGGCUACAGUAACAGAACCGAGCUCGACCAGAGAAGUGCUCGACUCUGAAGUUCUGGAGGUUAGAGAUGAGACAAAAGAAGCCCGGACAGAGCCGGUUGGAGAAUUGGAGACCUUCCCCUUAUCAGAAGCAGAGGGAAAUAAGGUCUUCAGUCUCAAUGCCGGCCUCACCGAAGAACAGAAAGGUGAAGUCAUGGCCUUGAUCCGAAGUCACGCGCCGACCUUCGAGUGGAAACUUUCCGACAUGCCGGGAAUUGAUCCUGAGGUAAUGACACACAAACUGAAUGUCCUCCCCGAAGCCAAGCCAGUAAAGCAGAGGAAGAGAGUAGUAGGUAGAGAGAAGCAGCAGGCUACCCGGGAAGAAGUGCAGAAGUUGGAGGAGGCAGGUUUUAUUAGGGAGGUUAUGUAUCCCCAGUGGUUAGCAAAUCCUGUGUUAGUCAAAAAAGCCAAUGGCAAAUAUAGGAUGUGCAUAGAUUUUACUGACCUAAAUAAGGCCUGCCCCAAAGAUUGUUAUCCCCUCCCCGAUAUUAAUAAAAUGGUCGACUCAACGGCUGGCUUCGAUUAUAUGUCUUCCUUGGAUGCUAUGUCUGACUAUCAUCAGAUCCCAAUGGAAAGGUCGGAUGAGGAAAAGACCUCAUUUAUAACUGAAGAUGGAACUUACUGUUAUAGGGAUAUGCCCUUCGGAUUGAGAAAUGCGGGGGCAACCUACCAGAGGUUGAUGAAUAAAAUUUUUAAAAGCCAGAUCGGCAGGAAUGUAGAGGUGUAUGUGGAUGAUAUGGUGGUCAAAAGUUCAACCUUCCAACAACAUAUAGCAGAUUUAAGGGAGGUAUUCGGAGUAUUAGAUCAAUACAGAAUGAAGUUGAAUCUAGCAAAAUGUGCUUUUUUCAUCAGAGGAGGAAAAUUCUUGGGGUUCAUGGUAAGCGAAAAAGGCAUUGAGCCUAACCCGGAGAAGGUAGAAGCCAUACUGAAUAUGCCACAGCCGACCUGUGUAAGGGACGUCCAAAGACUAACCGGGAGAGUAGUGGCACUCAACCGAUUCAUGUCGAGGUCGGCAGAAAAGUGCUUACCAUUCUUCAAAAAGUUGAGAAAGGUGCCAAACUUCGAAUGGACAGAAGACUGCCAGAAAGCUUUUGUAGAACUUAAGAGAUAUCUCAGCUCACCUCACGUGCUCAGCAGUCUCGUGAGAGGAGAAGAACUUCUGAUAUACCUGGCGGCCUCGGAACAAGCAGUCAGCGCAGUAUUAGUAAGGGUGGAGGAAGGAGAACAGAAACCCGCUUUUUACGUCAGCAAAGUACUCAGAGAUACCGAGGUCAGAUACUCGAACAUUGAGAAGAUGGCUUACGCCUUACUGCUAGCAGUCCGAAAAUUUAAAGUAUAUCUGGAAGGUCACCAAGGAGUUGUGAUGACAGACCAACCUUUAAAGAAGAUCCUGCGUAGGCCAGAGACUUCAGGACGGAUGCUGGCAUGGUCUGUAGAAAUCAGCCCCUACUGUCUAGAGUAUCGACCUCGGACAGCUAUAAAAUCUCAAGCCCUCGCCGACUUCAUAGCAGAGUGCGCAUUCAAUGAGGAGAAGGGAGGAUCAUCCUCAGAGAUAUCAAGAAAGGGGGGAGAAAGAGAACCUUCUCAAGAAUUUAACUGGAAGCUGUAUGUAGACGGGGCAUCAGGCGCUGAGGGCAGCGGAGCCGGAAUAAUGCUCAAGGGGCCAGAAGAUUUUAAAGUAUGCUACGCCUUACGUCUAGAGUUCAAAGCUUCGAAUAAUGCGGCAGAAUAUGAAGCCCUGAUAAAUGGGAUGUUGGUAGCGCUGGAAGUGGGAGUAACCGAUCUCGAGAUAAAAAGCGACUCUCAGCUGGUGAUCAACCAGGUAACAGGGGCAUAUCAAGCUAGAGACCCCAUUAUGCAGAAUUAUCUGGCUAAAGUGAAAACUUUAGAAGCCGAGCUCACAAGCCGAGGAGUGACCAUCAGAUUUCAAAGGAUACCCCGGGAAGAAAAUGAGGAAGCAGAUCUGCUAAGCUGACUGUCCAAAGAAGAAUUGGAACAGCUUCCUGAGGAAGUAUAUAUACAACAUGUCCAUAUACCUACUUUCAAUAAAACUAACAUAAUACUGCAGGUAGAACAGGGCCCGACCUGGAUGACCCCAUAUCUAGAAUAUCUGGAAAAGGGCAAGCUUCCCGAAGAUAAAGGAGAAGCUAGAAAAAUAGCAGCUCGUGCCGCAAACUACCAAGCAGUCAGGGGGGCCUUGUACAGAAAGGGGAAAUCUAGUCCGUGGCUCGGAUGUGUGAGCCCGGAAGAGGCUACGAAGGUGAUGGAAGAAAUACAUAGAGGCAUAUGCGGAGCCCAUGAGGGAGGAGGGACAUUAGCUAAUAAAAUAUUCAGAUAAGGAUAUUAUUGGCCUACUGUCAAAAAAGAUACAGAAGAGUUCGUCCGAAGAUGCGACAUAUGUCAGAGAUUUGCUAACGCCAUCAAAACUCCAGCCACUCCUUAAGCUAACAUAUCCAGUCCGUGGCCUUUCUCGCAAUGGGGCAUUGACAUUCUAGGACCUUUCCCCAAGACUACGAGGCAGAGGAAAUUUGUAGUGGUGGCCGUAGAGUACUUUUCAAAAUGGCCGGAAGCAGAAGCAAUAGCCACAAUCACAGCUCGCAAGAUGAUAGAUUUUGUAUGGGGACAUAUCAUCUGUAGAUUUGGCACACCUAGAGUGCUUAUCUCAGACAAUGGCAGACAGUUCGAUUGCAGCACUUUUAGAGCUUUCACAACAAACAUGGGUAUAUGGCAUAAAUUCUCCUCAGUAGCUCAUCCUCAGACUAACCGCCAAACAGAGGUCACUAACAGAGCUAUCCUCCAAGGGUUGAAAAAGCAGCUGGAUGGGGCAAAGGCGAAUUGGGCAGAAGAGCUCAACAGCAUCCUAUGGGCAUUACGCACCACUCCCAGAACGUCUACUAAAGAAACGCCUUUUGCACUUGCCUUUGGCACAGAGGCCGUGGUGCCCGUUGAGUUGCAGAUCCCUACUCAUCGAGUUCAGUUUGCUAGUGAAAGCACUAACGAAGACAAGCUAAGAAACAAUCUGGAUGCCCUUGAAGAAAUCAGGAAAGAAGCCCAAAUCCGAACGGCCGCCUAUCAACAAUGGGCAGCGCGAUAUUACAACCAAAAGGUCAGAGAAAGAAGUUUGAAAGUGGGAGACCUAGCCUUAAGGAAUCUGGAGGCUACAGGAAAAAGAGAGGCUGCUGGCAAACUAGCACCAACCUGGGAGGGACCAUUCAGAGUAACAAAAGUAGUCCGGCCAGGAGUAUACCGGAUCGAAGAUAUGCAAGGAAAUCAGGAGCCCCAUGCUUGGAAUAUUCAACACUUAAAGAGGUAUUUCCCUUGAUAUAUUUGUAAAGAAAGUCAGUUUAUUCUGAACAAAUAUGAAUGAAGUAAAUUAUUUACACGAAGAGACUGUUGUUCACACAAUGAGACUAUAUUUACUAUCUUGAAUAAUAUUCCCCCAUGAAAAAGAAAGAGCAGGGCUCAGAAAAAUCCCCUAGCAGAACAAGACCUCAGUUAGGCACAAAACCAGCUGAGACGACGAAGCGACAGUAAGGCCAAAGAGCCUGAACCUUAUGCCAGACCUCCUAAUAGAACAAGAGAAAAUAACCGGCGAGGCCCCGAGGUCAUCCCGGAAAUACGAAGAAGACCGGGAUCCCCUAGAACUCCCGGAAAAAUAAAGCAAAAAAUAGCCGGCGGGGCCCCGAGGUCACCCCGGAACAAAACAACCAGGAUCCCGUAAGAUCUCCUGGAACAAAAAAUAACCGGCGAGGCCCCGAGGUCAUCCCGAAAAUACAAAGAAGACCGGGAUCCCCUAGAACUCCUGGGAAAGCAAAGCAAAAAAUAGCCGGCGGGGCCUCGAGGUCACCCCGGAACAAAACGACCAGGAUCCCGUAAGAUCUCCUGGAACAAAAAAUAACAGGCGAGGCCCCGAGGUCAUCUCGUAAAUACAAAGAAGACCGGGAUCCCCUAGAACUCCCGGGAAAACAAAGCAAAAAAUAGCCGGCGGGGCCCCGAGGUCACCCCGGAACAAAACGGCCAGGAUCCCGUAAGAUAUCCUGGAACAAAAAAUAACCGGCGAGGCCCCAAGGUCAUCUCGAAAAUACAAAGAAGACUAGGAUCCCCUAGAACUCUCGGGAAAAAACAAAAACGGUCGGUGAAAGAGCCGACCUCACAAAAAGAGGCUCGAGGCGUAAUAUCUAAGAAAGAGCCGACCUCGAAGUAACUACUGGCGCUAAAAGCCGGAAUAAAGAAGCAAACUGCCGAGCCCCCAGCUCGGGUAGGCAUAUGCCCUGAAACGCUCAAGAAGAAUACGGCUAAGUAAUAAGGAAACAAUAGGGAACCGAACUCCCUCCAUAAAAAUGCUUGAAAAACGAAGAAACGUACAGGAGGACAGAUGAAGGCGAAAGAGCUAUACUCAAAGCUCAAACCAGUCUGUCUGGAACAGACAUCCGGACUUGCAAUCAGGAAAAGACUAAAAAGCAGACAUGAUUAGUCACCAUUAAAAGAUAUGAGAUUUGAUCCCUCAGAAUAUUAGCUGAAAACCGAGCUCAUAAUGAAAAGCUAGGUUAGCCCAGAGAAAGCUUACGAAUAAGAGUAGGCAGUGUGAAUGUUACAAGUACAGAUAUAUGCUAAAGAAAAUGAAAAAGAAGCAUAGUUCAAGAAAAUAGGAAUCGAAGUUUCAUUAAAAUAAGUAGUUAUUACAGCUUACUCCUUGGAUGAGGAAGAAGGAAAAAUAGUUCUUAAGGGACUUGCGGUUGUAAUUACAUCCUCACUUACACUAUGUCUAUUUACAACCCUAUCUGAAGAAGGCCCGGGAUCCUUUGGAUCAGAUUUCCCAGUAUCCGCAAAAGGGGCAAUCUCCAACCCUGGAUCGAGGUCCUCUCCAGUAGGUUUGGGGUCGCCCUCUUCAGACUCAAAGGCUCCCGCAUCCUCCUCAUCCGACUUAGAUUCUUCUUCGGAAGAAGAUACAGCCGACGUACCUCCAACGCGGCAGUCCCCUCGGGGCAUGGGGAAGUCAUCUUCUCCAUACAACACCGACUCACCAUCAGAGUCCACUUCUCUCAUACGAAGCUCUGCUAAAGGAGUAUCAGAAGCGUGUCUAGCCUCUCUUAUACCGCGGUUGUAACCAGUUGCAUACAUGCGGAAGGCUUUGUGAAGAAUAAGAGCCUUCAGGUCUGCAGAGGCUUUAUAUUCGUCAAGACGUGCCUCACAGGCCUCAGCUAUAAAUGCCUUCAAUUCAGGAGAAUCUUUGUAGUCCUGAAGGUGAACUUCACAGGCCUGCUCAAUCUUUCUUUUCAGCUCUUCCGACUCCUGAACUUCCGUUAUGCAUUUUUCGCGCUCUAGCCAGGCCCUGUCUUCAACAUGUUCUACUACCUUGAGCAGGGCCGAACAUUUACGCUUCAAAGUCCUAACUUCAUAAUUAAGAUGCUGAUGGCGAAGAUUGAAUUCCUCAGCUGAUGAAGCCAGGUCUCUAAUACGUUCAGAGCUUGUACUCAACUCCUGCUCAAGGACCUUCACCCGAGAUAGGGCCUUUUCCUUCUGAGCAUCCACCUCAUUCAGGCGAACACGAAGUCUUUCGGAUUCAGCCUUUAAGGCCUCAUAUUGACGCUGAAUCUCAGCUCUCUGACUCACGGCCUCAUCUUUCUCUCUAAGGGCCUAUGUCGCAGAAGCCAGCUGCUUUAAAACCUCCGUACAACGAACCUCCACAGCAGCUGCCCUCUCAUCAGACUCCUUGAGGACCCCGCGAGUAUGAGACAGCUCUGCUUCUAAGGACUUGGUAUGCUCUGCUGUCUUAAUCGCCUUCUCCUCAGCUUUUUUAAAAGCAUCCAGCGCAGAGUGCAACUCCAUCUGGAGGGACUGGAUACGCUCCCGAGCAGCACCAAGAUUGCCCCUCGCGUCACUGGUUGCAGAUAAGUUUUCCUCCAGACGCGCCUCCUCAAUCUGGCGGUCCACUGAUUCCCGGAAGGAACGGUCACGAACGUCCACCUCCAUGAGGAGGCCCGUCACCUAACACGGAGGAACAAACGUCAGGAAAAAGAAAUAAAAGAAAUCAAAAGAGAAAUUGAAAAAUAAUUUACCAUCAGGAGCAUCUCCCUAAUUGUAGAUCCCAGCUCCUCACGAGAACGGGAUUGGAAGGACGCUAGUUCCCUGGUAGAACUGGCCAAGAGACCCGUAAGGGCAAGAAGACGUGGAUCCGAGACCUCUGUCAUUCCACCAAACAUUCGCUCUCUAAAAAGCUCGGCGACAGCACUGGCCGAAGAUUGAGAAGUGAUAUCCGCUGCGUUCAGAAUAUUGCUGCCCAGGGAAGACACAACAGGAACAUCUUUCUCCUUCCCAAUAGGAGGGAGAGCUGGAGAAGCUCCCUCGGCAGCCCUGGAUUUCUUCCGAGCUGGAAGAGUAGCAGACAUCUCAGGAAGGGCUGAGCGUUUGUCCCCAGUCUUGGGUGGGACGCCUUCAGGUCUUUCAGACCCAGACCUCACAGAAGCAGGGGCAUCUUGGGCUGAAAUCUCUGGAACUUGGUCCUCUAUAAGGAUGAUCUCCAUCCCUUCCCCAGAGGCCUCUUUAUCCUCAGUAACGGGGGACUUGAAUUUUUCCCCUGAUAUCUCUUUGGAAGAACGGGCGAGAUCCAAAUCCGCCGGCUCGUUGACCCCGGUCUGCUCCACAAUGGCAAGAGGGGUUUCCCUCACCUCCGCUGAAGAAGCUUGAGCAGACUUAGACUCUUCAAUAGGCUUAAUGGUCAAAGCCGACUUGCCGCGACUGGGCAACUUAGAUGAUUUGGAGCUGCGGGCUCUCGGUUUAGGAUCACGAGAGGAAGCCUUGACAGGAGGUCGACUAACUUUCUUGGAAGGGGCAACCUGAACCACCUCUGCAGCAACCUCCGGCACUGGACGCCCAGCUCGAAAGGCAUCGAAAAUCGCGUGCAUGUUCUCCCGGGACAAAACCAGGUUCUUCGGGAACUUGAUCUCAUCCAUUUUUACUUCAGAAGCUGCAAAAAGCACAAAAUCAUGAAGAGUUAGCACACUCCUUGACAUCGCAUAUAAAGAAAAACAGAGCUGUUGAAUAAGGCGAUAUACCCGUGUCCCGGAUAUCCCUAAGGUUAGACGCAAACAUACAUUUCUCGACGUCAUACUUCAUUUCAACAGAAGUCAGUCGAAGUAACCCCACCUGCUCAAUAAGGCUCAAUCGGAGCAGCUCGUUGCAACCCGGGUGGACCUCCUCCCAACUUAGAUCCACUUCCCAGGAUCGAGCGGACUCUAAUUUUAGCUCCGCCACAAGGAAAUGCUCUACUCAUCCCUUUAUGGAAUCUUUAUAGCCCGUGAAAAGGGACAACCCACUACGGGGAGCAAGAUAGUAAAAAUUAUGAACCGUCUUAAUCAGACGGAAAAGAGUGGCGAACAGACACGCCGUGGGUGUAAAACCCCAACUCAGGCAGACAGACUCAAAACAGGACAGGAACAAAACAGAAUUUGGGGUCAACAUCCGAGGGGUUACCCCGAAAUACUCGAAAACCUCGAUAAAGAAAGGAGUAAAAGGAAACGGUAGACCGAAUUCCCUCUGCUUAAGAAAGAACACUAUGCAGCGACCCCUUUGGGGAUCAAACAAACCAGGAGGAGGAGGAUUUGGGAGGACUAUCCUCUCGUUUUCAAAAGGAGCCCGAAUAAGAUAAAGCGGAGUAUCUAAAAGCCUUCGAGGAAUGUGAUUAGUUAUGGUGGAGGAAGUAAUAUGUGACCUAAGAUUGGUGACAUCGGGGAGCUUUGGACCCGCCAUGGGAGAACAAAGAAGCGUACCUGAAAACGCAAUAGGAUGAAGAAAGCAUAAAGAGUCGCAGGAGAGCAGAGAGCAGAAGAGGUUUAAUUUCUUCAGAAGACGAAAAGAAUUCGAAAUGAAAGGCAAUAAUGAGACGGAACGUUGAUCUGAACAGUUUUGUCUUGGAGCGGCGCGAUCAUUAAAUGCUCUCGAAGUUUACCCCCUCAACGGUUAGGUAAUAACCGGCGAGAGGGUAAAAGGGGCAAAGGGAUGACCGCUAGGCUUCUCUACCCCUACAAAAGGCCAGAUCCAUAGUGAUAGCCCAUUAUGAAAAAGCCCAUGCGCCGUAUACAAUGCAAAGCCCAACUUGUCCAAAUCUUAAAGACCGAGCUCCACCAGAUCUUCCCAGUCAAGACGACUUAACCUGCAAGAUGUACAAUUUCACCAUCUCUACGGUAAGUACCGAGGAAAUAAAAAGCAAGGAGUGAAAAGACUCAGAGAUACAAGCAGAUGGGAGCGUGAUAAAGGUCAGACCUGCUCAUCACUUAAAAAGAUGUAAGAUUUGGCCUAUCGCUAUUUAAUGAUAGAUAUGAGAUCAGAAUGAAACAACAAGGGUACCUCGGAAUCACGCAAAGUUGCGAUCUCAGAGUUCAAUCCAUUGAGUAAGGACAGAGCUCACGGGUCGGUUAUUCCAGUUCGGAAAAAGUAGAACAAAAGCCCAGUUGGUUAAGAGAACUCAGAACUCAAUCCAUUGAGUAAGGACAGAGCCCACAGGUCGGUUAUUCCAGAUCGGAAAAGUAGACCGAAAGAUCAGUCGGCCGAAUAGGUUUUAAUUCAGAUCAACUAAGAAGCAACAGUACAGGGAAUCCUUCAGGGAAAAUCACCAAGCAAAUAGUUUCAAGUACUUCAUUCAGGAUAAAGAAAGAACAGCUCAGAUAUGAAGGGAAAGCAUAAGUCUCAUUACAGUGUGUUACGACUGCUUACAUUACAGACAUAGCAUCCAAAGAAGACAUAUAAUCGAAGAUUUACGUGCCUAAAUACAUCAUCAUCUACGAUUACAUCAUUAUCACCUACUCUACUAGUUUAGUCUUCGAUUCGAAGGAUUUCUCGUAGUACGGAAGACGAGCUCUGUAUAUCGGCUGAGCUCUGCCUCGUUAUUAUAGGAGAACUGAACGAGUUGAUUCCCAUAAGCAUUUCUCACUGUUCUCCUAUAGGCCGGUAGCCUGUUGCCCAAGUGUGAUUCACGAUACAUACGAACGAGCUCGGAUAUUAUAUGCUGUUCGUAUAGCACGCAUAAGUCCUCGGGCCACGGCUUCGGAAAGAUCGCAGAACAUAUAUUCGGAGGUAUCGACGGAAGCUUGACUGAGUGCAGCAGAUCUCAGUCUCUCAUAAUGUAAGUACUCCACACUAAAGGGAAUCAUAAGCUGAUCAUUUUCACCACUUCCAUUUAUAUCAAAAGAAGACAACUGGGGCCUCGAAGAAAUUUCCUUGUUCUUCUCGAAAGAAGGCAAAGUUAGAACAGACCUCUCAGCAGUCCAGAACCUCCUUGGAGCUCGGAUAAUAACUGGUGGAGGAGGCCAGCCAGACGACCCAAGUAAGAUAGUUUCAACGACCUGCCAAGUGGUCCCACCCAUCGACCGCACUACCAGGAAGACCUCCAAAACCACGUUCAGACUCCCUAGAGGUAAUACCAAAUUUCCAGAAGGAUGAAACUGACUCAUUUUCGUUUCAGAUACUGCAAGAAAAGCCUCAAAACAGAGAUAAGCCAAAAUAACCUUUUAUCAAGACAAUGAAAGCAGGAUAGAAGCAAACCUCUAGGGCAACAAAGCAAUAAAACCUCAGGAUCACUUCAAUCUAUUUGAAGAAGGCGUUUGACAGAUCCUCUGCGGAUGUAAAAUUCUCAUCUUGACAGAUAAAUCCGAAAGAAAAAGCUCCCUCGUCCCAACAGGAUACCUGAGAAUCAAGAAGAGGUAACGCUAAUGUAUAUAUCCGAAAGUUUGAAUUUUUGUGCAGGAUAGGCAGUACCAGGCUCCCAGCCCACAACGUCAGGAGCCUUAAAAGCUAUUCAUGGAAAAGGAAAGAAAAAGCAUGUCCAGACGAUAAUGGCAGGAAAGCAAAGAUAGCAGAACACUAAAAAUAAUGGAAAGCCGGAAAGGGAAAAAGGCAGAUCAGAUUCAAAAACUGAAAAGUAGCAACAAGACGAAAGGGUGUUAUAAAGACAGUUGUACACGAACAGGCGCGGUCAUAAUGGUUCUUGAUAUUCACCCCCUCGUCAGUCGGAGCAAUAACUGCCGAGAAGGUGAAGGGGCAAUUGAUGACCUCUGGAUUUUUCUACCUCUACAAAGGGCCUAGUCCACCAUGAAAAGCCCAAAGAGCGAAGGCCCACACACCUGGUAUGCGGAGUAAGCCCGGCUCGUUCAACCUUCGAGGCCGGGCUCGACCAAGUUCCCUCACUCAGAUCGGCCCAGUCCGAGCAAUCUCCUAAGCAAAUCCCUUCCUCUCGGGCCCAUCGUCCAGUCCAACUCUUGGCCCAGCCUAGGAUCAAGAAGGAUAUUCACGGGACAGCCUGGCAGAUCCGCUCAAAUGUACGCACAGGGAGAAUCAGAGGCCGUUACGCAUGGAGCAGGCGCCUGAUACUCUCGUACGCUCGAAUCUGUAUGGCAGAGACGUGUGGCCCACUCAUGAGGAGGCUGUUAUACGUCACCACCAAGCAAGGCGAAAAGAAUAAAAGCGGAGUCCCCUCCCCAGAAAGUUUAAGUUUAAGUUUAUGAUUCAAGACAAAACCCUCUUGUAAAACCCUAUUUUAUUGGAUCUCAGAUCAUCACAACUAAUUCAAUUAAACUAAAUUUGUUAAUGGAAAAUUAUAAAACAUUAUUAAAAAAUAGACAAAAAUGCUAAUUAGAUCUUAUGCUAUGAGUAAAUUUAUUAAUUAAUUUUUAAUUUUAAAAAAUAUAUUAAUUUUUUUGAAAUUUUAAAAUUCUACUAAUUAACCUAUUUGACUAUGUGUUUGUGUGCAGGUGGAAUGGAAUUUUCGCCUUUCAGCUGCUUAUAGUUGGAAGGAGCAUCGGGUUUGCUUUUAAGGGCCAAUACCUCCUGGAGAUAUUUUUGGCACUACUCAUUCUCAGUUCCUAGUCUCUCAGAAGGCAAAAGUGCUUAAGGUGCUCUACUUGCCACUGUGACUAGUAGUUUAUAUACUCACUUUGCACUAAGAAAAUAGGAUAAAAUGCUCCUUUACAAGUUUUCAAAGUACGUCUAACUUGAAAAUUCUAAUUAAGAGAAAAGAAAUCAGGGUCGAUCAUAUCUCAUCCCUUGAAGGUAGAUGAGUAGUAGUUUUUCAUGCAAAAAGCAAAGCAACACUGUCUUGGUUUGCAAUUAAUGGCUUGUAUUGCUUUGUCUAUUGCCAUACAUUUGAGAAUUUUUAGUGUAUAGAUAAUAAUUUCAUAGUAGUAAUUGACUAUAAUGAAUUUCAUGUAGAUCCCACUUUGAUCAAUGGUCCGCAUCUAGACAAAGUUCCUCUUCCUGUUCCUCAUGAUUUAUCCUGCGAAUGUCUUGUUUUUCAAUCUUUGAAGAGAAUUUUCAUCUUCCUUAUCUUCUUCAAUUCUGCUUCUCUUUUUAUCUCUGGAAAGACGAUCCUCUCGAAAUAUAGGAUGCACUCCACACAUUAUUAUAGAAUCGUAAGCACGAUCCACACGAUAUGUUGGCUUGGAUGUGUGCCUGGAAAUGCAGAAUUGAAAGGAAGCUUCAAGGAAACUCUCUUCCAUGUCCAACAGUUCAUUCCAAAGGAACACAUGUUCUGAAUAUAAGGGAUCAGAUACAAAAUCCAGGGUCUCGAAAACGAAAUUUUGACUGCUAUGUCCAGAUUUACCGACGAAGUUAGCUAUGCAACUAAUGUCUAUAAUACGAUCAUGAGAAUAAUUUUUUGGAUCAAAAACAGCACAUAAAGAAAAACCAGUCAAAUUUGCCUGAUCUAGUCUGAAUGAAAGAGAAGAUCCACUUUUGUUCUUAUAUCUCAUCGUUUCAGGCACUUCAGCCCCCGCUAUGUAUAACUUAACAAUCUGUACCAUGGAAAUUAUAAAUUAUGUUAUGAAAUCUAAUAAUAAUAAACAAAAAUUGUACACUCAAGAGGGUUGAUUCUUGUAAGACCAGAGAAAGUAAGGCAUACCUUGCGUUUUAACAGAUGCGUCUUCAAUACAUCCUCCAUUACUUUAUCAUUUACGUUCCUAUCCAAAUUGAUGCAAUUACGAAACUCAAGUCGUUUUUCUUCUUCUUCAUCAUCAUGUUCUAAGAAAAGGGAUGAAGUUGAUGCAGAUUCCAAAGAUGUGCAAUCUGAUGCAUCUAACUCUUCUAAGCAUGACGGAAGCUCUGGUAAACAUUUAAGUCUCUUGCAACCUUUUAAUGAAAGCCACUUCAACUCAGUUAGAUGUUUAAUGCUUGCAGGUGUCGUCUUGAAAUUGUUUCCACCUAAAAGUAAGCCUUCCAAUGACACUAAAAACCAAAGACUCUGGGGAAUUUCUAAUAUACCACAGUCACUUAAAUCAAUUUUCCUUACACAGGACAGACCUGUCAAAGGAGGCAAUAUAAAACCUUCACAUCUCGAACAUGUUAACUUUUCCAAUCUUCUCAAUUGAUUGAUGGAGGAUGGUAAUGUUUUUAUUCCACUUCUAGAUAUAGAGAGGUUCUUCAGCAAUUCUAGAUCCCCCAUGUUCUCUGGCAAUGCUUUGACAUUCAAACAGCCUGAGAUAUAAAGGUGUGUAAGAGAUUUCAAAUUGCAGAUGCUUUGUGGAAUACUAUGCAGUUUUGAGCAGUAUCUGAGAUCAAUUUCUUUUAGACAUUUAGACUCGCCAAUGCUGCUAGGAAUCUCAAUCAAGUUUCUACAUGCUAUCAAAUAUAAAACCUCAAGAUUUGGGGCACUAGACAAGUCUGGAACUUUAGUUAACUCAAAAGAGUAGCUGAGGUCUAAAAAUUUCAAACUUUCAAGAGCCUGUAAUCAAAACGUCAAUAAAAUUAGCAGAAGCUAAUUAACUCUGCACAAUGUAGCUAAAUUUUAUAAAGCAGCAUAAUAACUCUAACCUUCUCUUGAUUCCAGAGUUGGAUGAGGUUGCUCCGUGGCAUGUGAAGUUCUACAAGAUUUCUCGGGCAAAAAUUUAUUGGCAAGGAUUUCAAAGGGUACCCUUCCCAAUGAUGAUAUCUUAGCUCCUUUGGUAGAAAUUCAAGGCCACUAGGUAGAAGCACUCGUCUUGGUCUGGAUGUAGAAACAUUGAAGAAUUUGAGAAAUCUAAGAUUGCACAUGUUCAUGAAAGCUGUGGGACUUAGCUCCAAAUAUCCAUUUCCAGACAUAUCAAGUAAUAUGCCUUCAAUAUUUUCAGUUCCCUAAGAAAAUAACAACAAACAUUAUAGGCACUGCACUUAAUUCUUAAAACUGCAUAUAAAUAAUAUCUAUGUAUAAUUAAGAAUAUGCACAUUAAUUCUUUUGGUCCAUACCUUGUCUCUUGUCAAUACAUGACAAAUAUCCUUAUAUUUCCACAACCUGCUGCGUGUCCCAAGUUGUUUGGACUCCUCACAAACAACAUCCUUGCCCAUUUGUUGUAGCAAGUCAUGCAUGCCUACCUUACCAUUUGAAACAGUUAUGAGAGAUUUAUCAAUUAAACGGCUUAUCGCUCUUCUUGGAAAGAAACCACAACCUUCAAAUAUUCUUUCGACACGAUCUUUAGGCUCGCCUUUAAGGAAACAUGCAAUAUCAAGAAAUAUGAUCUUUUCAUGACGUUCUAGUCCAUCAUAACUUAUUCUCAAAACUGCCUGAAUAUUCAUAUCAGGAAUUUCUUUCAAUUUUUCCAACUCACUUUCCCAUUCUUCAAUCCCCUUAUUAUACAAAUUAGAGCCUAAAAUUACAAGAGCCAAUGGAAUACCUUGAGCAUAUGUUAUCAACUUCUUUGAUAUUUCCACAUAUCCUUUCUUGGGAUGAUUUUGUUUGAAGGUAUACAAGCUAAAGAGACAAAGAGCUUCAUCAUCAGUUAAUUUUUCAACCUUGUAUUUGUAUCCCUCCGAACAAACAUUUUUAAGUACUUGUCUAUCUCUGCUUGUUACAAUGAUUCUACUACCAUUGUGGUACAAAGCACACUCUCCUGCUAAAAGCUUUAGAUGGUUUGGAUCAUCCACGUCAUCAAAAACAAUGACAACCUUUUUACUCUGAAGUCUUCUCCUAAUGAAAGGGGGUAGCCGAGGUGUGCUUACAUUUAAAUUCUUUUCUCCUAACAAUUGGUUAAUGAUUUUAUCUAAUAAAACAACAGGUGUUUGUUUUCUCACCUCCUCUCUGACAUUAACAACAAAACAGUGUCCAUCAAAUUUAUCCAUAAUUCGAUUAAAUACUUCACCAGCAAUAGUUGUCUUGCCAAUACCUCCCAUCCCCCAAAUUCCUAUUACUCUUCUAUCAUUUAUUGAUUCAAUACAUAACAAGGAUUCCACUUUCUUCAGACGUGAUUCAAUCCCAACUAAGUUGUCAUUGUAAGAAUCACUUGAGGAGAUGAGACUUAAUUUCUCCCAAACAUCAUUGGCAAUUUCCUCAACUAGUUUGGAUUCAGACCUAAUACAUAUGAAGAACAAAUGCUAGUAAGUCAAAGCAAACCACCCUUAGAGGCUUAGACUCGCUUCUAAGUAAAUUGAUAAUAUACGAUUACAUAUACAUGCAAACAAAAACAAGAAUAGUAAAAAAAUCAACAGAAUUACUUGAUUUUCCGUGAAUCCCAUCCUGAUAAAUUGCUUAUUGCCGUCAGAGCACGACGCCACUUAUCCACCUUGUCUAAACAACCUUUGACUUCUUCUCCAUGCUUAGCAACCGCAAAUGCCUCGCCGAAAUCCCCAAUGAGAUCUUGAACAUCAGUUGGAUCUACAUUGUAAAAAAUUGGUAGGACUAAUCCUUCUAAAUUUCCCUUGCAUUCAAGUAUCUUCACAAGCUCAUCCAAGCACCAUGGAGAAUCUGCAUAAUUUUGAGAGAAAACAACAAUUGAGACAUAAGAAUCUUUAAUUGUUUCCAAGAGAGCAGGUGAGAUCUCUUCUCCUUUACGAAGGUCUUCAUCCAUGAAAAGAUUGAUUUGUUUUCGCUGCAAAGCAUCAAAGAGAUGGGAGAGAAAACCCACACGAAUAUCUUUGCCUCUAAAGCUAAUAAAAACAUCAUAUUUGCAAGGAGGGGUUGAAGAAGUAGCAUCCAUAGAUGAGUGAUGAAAGAAUGCUUGUGUAACUCCAACUGAGCUUGAAGAAGUUAAAGAGAGCAAGUGCCGUGCUAGACAAGCCAACAGGACUCUUCCUGGAAAAUGAUAUCUAAAUUGAAGUCGUCACCUAAUCGUCCGUAGAAACUUCAAGGAAAGAAACCCAAAACUUGCUAUCUAGGCAUGUUGCUAUCUGACACUCUUCUUCUCCUUUUCGCCUCAACUUUGCCUUGUCCACAAUCAGCCGGCUUCAGUUUCUCUACCACAAAUUUACAUUUUUUUACAUACAUUGAGUCUAUGAUUUCCAAUAAUAUCAGCCAUGUUAGUUUGACUAGCAAGAAGUGCUGUUGAAGAAUAAUAAUUUUUUUAUUUUAAUUUAUCUUUUAAUCUUUCUAUAUCAUUAAAUAAUAAAUUAUUAUGAAAAAUUAUAUAAUCAUUUUGGAAAUUUGUGAGAUAAUUUAUGAUAAUAUUUAUUUUAAUAUUUUUAAAAAUUAUUAUAUGUAAUUUUUGUGUACAAAAAGAUUUUAUAUGUUCGUGAAAAAUAAGAGAGAUAAUUUGAAUUUUUUUCGUAUGUGAUUUUCUAAUGGACUUGUGAAGUGAAUUUUUUUUUGUGUGAGAGAAUUUUUGAUUUUUGAGUCUUAAAAAUAGAGCAGUUUAAUAAUAAUUUGAUGAGAAUGGGUCCUCCAUUUUUUAAUGGAGAAAAUUAUCAUAUUUGAAUAAUUAAAAUGAAAUCUUAUUUAGAGUUUGUGGGAUGUUGUUAAAACCGAGCAGAUUCACUUAAUCUUAGUCCUGAUCCAACUCUAAAACAAAUCAAGAAUGAUGAAGAAUUAAUAAAGAAAAAGCUGAGAGUUUUAAUUUGUUUGCAUCUUAGUUUGAUGGAUAUGAUUUUUAUUAGAAUUAUGAAUUGUGAAAUUCUAAAGGAAGUAUGGAAUAAGUCCAAAGAGAAGUUUGAAGGGAGCGAUAGAGCAAAGACCGUUGACUUCUCACACUAAAAAGGCAACAUGAGAGAGAAAAAAGUAAGAAAAAAUAACUUAACGGAACAAUAUUGUUUCAUUCUAUUAUGUCGUUUGUUAUUGUUAACACUGUGCCAUUUUUCCUUGAGUAUAAUAUUUCACAAGCCUUCUGCAGAAGCCAAGUGAAGAGGCAAGCAGCAAAGAGAGUCUAACUCCUCGGCUAGUUUGGGCUUCCGCUUGAGGAGUGCUUGUGCAAAUUGAAGGUGACCUCGCAUGGCUGCAAUGUGCAAGGGAGUUUCAUGACAGGAAGUAAUGGUGACCCUAUCAAGAAUGAGUUGAUCUUGUUGAAGCAAUGCAUCUAAUUCAGCUACAUCCCCUUUCAGUGAUGAUUGAUAAAUGAUAAGCUGAUCAUGCUCGAUUGAGGGGUUGAGGUUCUCUAUAGACAUCCUAUGCAAAAGGGGGUGGUAAUAGGGUUCUGGUUAGAGGAUGCUUGCUUUUUAAGGAGAAUAAAGACGACAGUAAUAUAUAUAAAUGAUUUUACAAUAAAGCUGAUGACCAAUUUACGUGGUUAGAAUUGAUUUUGGCCAAUAUUUGGCACCUGUUAUUACCAGAAAUGCCUGGUAAUAUCUUGAAGUUUCAAGACAUCUCAUGACAUGUUAGAACUUUGAAGACAUCCUUAACAUCCUUAUUUCAUUAUCAUUAGUCAUUAUUAAUUCUUCAUCUAUAGCUGAAAGGAAGUAAAACGUGUUUAGGGGUGACAUCAAAGUGAAAUUACAAUAAAGGUCGUCACUAAGAAACACCUUUAUAACAAAAUAUAUAGAGAAUUACUUUUAAUUUUGUAAAAAAGUAAUUAAUUCAUUUUUAUUUUAAAAUCACUCGAUUAAAUAUUUUUAUUUCAACGAGAUAAUUUAUUUUUAAUUAUUCAGUUUUAAUUUAAAAAAUAAAAUUUAUUAAUAAAUUUAUAUGUAAAAUUUUAAUUUCAUUAUUUUUUAAAUUAUAAUUAAAGAAUGCAAAAUUAUAAUUAACUAAAAUUCUUUCUAUCAUAUUGUCGUAUGAUAUUUUACACACAAAUUAACUUAUUUAUUUAUAUUGUUUUUACUAUAUAUUUAUUCUAUUUUUAUUUUUUAACUGUCAUUAUUUUUAUUAUUAUUUUAAUUUUUAUAUUUAAAUAAUAUUUUUUUCGUUAAUAAUUUUUACCAAAAUUUAUGAUUAUAUUAUUUAUUUUUACUAAAGAUAUAAAUAAUUCUUCUUAUUUACUGCAGUAAGCACACGUAUAUUUGUUUCAUAAAUAAUUUGCAUAAAUAUAUUAAAAAUAUAAUAUGAGAAAUAUAAACAGGAAAAGUUUUAUAAAUUCUAGGGAGAUUUACAAUUUAGUUCAUGUGUAUUGUCAUUAUUAACAAGUCAGUUUCUGCAUUUUCAGAAACUUAUUAAAACGUCCUUACAUAAUCAAACCAUUAACAAAUCAGUCCUUCCAUCCACUGUUAUCCUUUUUUCCGUUAAAAAUAAAAUGAAAAGACCAAAAUAACCUUAGUGUAACUUUUCCCUAAAUCGAUAAUCUCUCUCCUCUAAUCCCUAACCUCUCUCUUCUCCCAAAAAUGAAAACCUCUCUUCUCAAAUCCCUAAUUUCUCUCUUCUUCCCUAAUCGAUAACCUCUCUCUUCCUAAAUCCCUAACUUUCUGUCUUCUCCCAAGUCGAUAACUUCUCUUCUCAAAUCUCUAACUUCUCUCUUCUUCCCUAAAUCCUCUAUUCUCCAUUUUGUUGGUUUUUGUCGAAGAGAAAUUAGUUUCUGUCGAAGUGAAGUUGUGGUCCCGAUUUUGUUGGUUUCUGUCGAACAAGUGGGGAAAGAUAACUUUUUGUGCUUUCUUUUGUUUGUUUUCUAUGGAUGUGUGACCAUAAAGUUUGUAUUAUAGUAAAGCAUGUGGGUACCACUUACUGUUACUGAUAGUUUUAGUGUAUUUUUUUUUUGGAGAUUUUAUAUAAUUAAAGAAUGUAUGAUUUAUAUGUGCAGGUCUGAAGACAUGACUGUGGAAGAGAGAUUUACUGUGGUGUUGAUAUAUGAAAAUAAAACUGAUUCCAUAUAUAAUGUCCCCAUUGGAAGGUAUUUGUACAUAUCCUUGUUGUCUGAUGUUUAUAAGAUGUUUAACAUAGCUGCAUCAUUUGUUACGUUUGUUGUUGGUAAUGGGAUGAGUGUAGAAAAUGAUGAUGAUUUAAUGUUGGCUUUUGAGUUGUACAAACCUAGUCAUAGAUUGCCUUUGACUGUACAAGUAAAAGGGGUCCCUCUUAACACUAAGAUGCCUGAUGAUGACGAUGAUGAUGAUGAUGUUAGUAUUAUUGGUGAGGGCAGUAAUACUGGUGAGGGCAUUAACCUUAGUGAGGGUGGUAAUAUUAAUUGUUGAGGAUAUUAACCUUGAUGAUGCCUUAGGUAGAAACACUCCCCCAUUAAGUAGGGAUGGGUCCACAAGAGGUAGGGGUAGGAGUGUGCCAUUAAGAGGAAAGGGAGGAAGAAGCAGUUUUACUAGAGGUAGAGGAAUAAGACAGGAAAGGGUUAGUGAAAGUGGGCAGUUAGGGGAAGAGGCCAAUGAAUCACCACAAAGUGAUUCUGAAAGUGAUGUAUCAUUCAAUGACAGUGAGGUUGGAGAUGAUUUACCUGAAGAAGUUGUAUUUGACAAUGAAAUUAGUAUUGAAGAGUCAAAUGGGUUAUCAGAUUAUGCUAGUGACAAUGACAAAGAGAUUGAAGAUAGUGAGAAUGAGUCUUAUGAUCCAAAUAAGAGGAAGAAAAAAUAUAUUGAUCCUUAUCAUGGCAUGUAUAAUGAUCCCUUCCAACACAAUGAAGGAGAAGGGAUUUUGUUUAAAGAGGGCCAAGUUUUUAAUGACAUUGCAACUUUGAGGAAUGCGAUGAGAGAUUAUGCUAUUAAGGGGGGAUAUGAUAUUACAAGAGUUAAAAAUGACUCUACUAGAUUAACAGCUAAGAGUUCCAGUACAGGAUGUCCCUAGAGGUUUCAUGCAUCAGUUCUGUCUGACCAAGUCACUUUCAUGGUUAAGACUCUGCAUGAUGAGCACACAUGCAUAAGACCAUUAAGAAAUGAAAAUUUGAAUUCAAACACUAAGUGGAUAGUAGAAAAACUAAGGGGAAAACUGAGGGUAGACCCUGACAUGAGUUAUGAACUCAUGCAGUAUGAGUUUAUGGAAAAAUGGAGUGUGGAAGUUCCUGUGUGGCAAUUAUAUAGAGCCAGGUGCAAGGCUAGAGAUGAGAAUAUAGGCAUGCAUUGUGAAAGUUUCAAAAAACUUAAGAAAUAUGUCCAUUAUUUGCAAACAUAUAACCCAGGUAUAGUUGUAAAAAUUCAGCCACCUCCAAGGGUUAAUGAAGAUGAUCCUUUUGUUUUUCAAAGAAUAUGGAUUAUGUUUGAUGUUAUAAAGUUUGGAUUUGAGAAUGGUUGCAGACCCUUUAUAGGAUUAGAUGGUUGUCACUUGAAGGGUCCAUAUGGAGGGAUUUUCCUAGUUGCAGUCAUACUGGAUGGAAAUAGAGGUGUGCUACCUCUUGCAUUUUCUAUAGUUGAAGCAGAAUGUAGUGAUAGCUGGACUUUUUUCCUAGAGAAUCUUUAUUCUUGCAUUGGUGGAGGAACUGAUGAUAGGCCUUUAACUAUUAUGUCAGAUAAGCAAAAGGUAUGAAUUAAUAUUCACUUUUUUUUUAAUUUAGCAUAUUGAAUUAUAUGCUAUUAAUUUAAGUUACUAACUAUUUUUUUGGUUGUAGGGACUCGUUGAUGCUGUCAAAAAUAUAUUUCCCAAUGCAUCUCAUAGAGUUUGUUGCAGGCAUUUAUACAUGAAUUUCAAGAAAGAGUUCCCUGGACUCAUGCUCAGAGAUGAUUUUUGGAAUGCUGCAAAGAGUACUCAUUCUUAUGAGUUUUGGCUUCACAUGAAGAAUUUGAAUCCCAAGCGAGAUCAAAAGCCAUAUCACUGGUUGAUCAACAUACCCUUCAGUCAAUGGAAUAGACAUGCAUUCUGGCCUGAAGCUAAGUGUGACAAUUACACUAACAACAUGACCGAAUCAUUCAAUGCAUGGAUAGUGAAAUUGAGAGGUUUGCCUAUUAUCAAUAUUAUUGAAUCAAUUAGGCAGAAACGUAUGGUUAGGUUGCAUAAAAGAUUUGUUAAAGCUCGACCAUGAGAAGAGAUAGUUACACCAAUAAUAAAGAAAGUAUUGAAUAAAAUCAUUACUGCCAAUAGGUUUCUUAAGUUGCUCCCUGGUAGAAAUGAAGAGUAUGAGGUUCAUGAGGGUCCAUGUAGGUUUGCUAUAAGUUUAGCUAAAAGGACAUGCAGUUGUGAAUGAUGGGAUAUAAGUGGUUUACCAUGCAAGCAUUCUGCCAGAGCAAUUGCAUAUGUUAGGGGUAAUAUUGAAGAGUUUUGCCAUGAAUAUUACACUGUGCAGUGCUAUUCAAGAGUUUAUGCAGGUGCCAUAAAUCCUAUUCUUCAAACUGAGCUUGAAUCUGAUAAUGAACACCCAUCAAUGUUGCCACCUCCUUUGAGGAGGCGACCAGGAAGGCCAAGAAAGGCUAGAAAGAGAGAUGAGAGUGAACCACCAGCAAGAGGAAGGAAGACAUCAAUUGUCACUUGUGUUAGGCGCUUACGAACAGGCCACAAUAAGAGAACUUGCCAAUAUAUUGCUGUUGGGGUGACUAUACAUUUGUUUGCUUGCAUAUAAUGAAUCUAUUUUAACCUUUUUAACCUUUUUAUGUAUUUUUCUAAUUGCAGGCAUGGCUGCAAGUCAAAAGAAGAGGAAACACACUACUGCAUUAGGUACAGGGACUUCAAGAGUGGUUAAUACUAAUCAAGUGGGAUCAAGUGGUGGACCAAUAACCUAAAGGAGCCUUUGAAAUAUAAAAUUAUCUUUUUGAGAAUUUUGUUAGUUGAUGGGAUAUGAUUUAUACAUUUUGGAAAAACAUGUUUUUUGGGACAUUGGAUUGUAAAUCUGAGAAUAUUGUAAAUCUGUGCACAGAUUCUUUUUUAGGGGAGUUUAUCAUAGAUAUUGGUAUAAUGUUACAGAUAUUGGCCUUACUUGACCAUUAAAAUGGCAGUAAUAGAUGUAUGACAUUGUAAUGAUCAAGUCUGAUUUUGUAAUACAUAUUUAAACAAAAAGGAUAUAUUAAUGAAGUUAUGCUUUUAAUUUCAUUUGCUCAGCUCCAAUUUUAUUCAUUGUGCAUUUAUAAGAUUUGUUUGUACUUGAUAUUAAGUUACAGUUGGAUAAAUGUAACAGUAUCACUCUUCUAUUACUUUUAAUUUUACAACUUUUUAGUUCAUCUAUUUAAAUAUUCAAAAUUUCUCAGUCCUUUAAGUUUUAAAAUUUACAAUUUUUUAGUCCUUAUAUAUUAAAUUUAGAAACUAUUACGUCCUCCAGUUUUGAAUCAUUACAACUGUUUGGUCCUUCAUUUUAACCAUUCACUUACAAGAAACUAAUAUGCUAAAAUUCCAAUCAUCCAACUUAGAAAAACAAUACAAAAUUCAUUUAUACAUAAAGAACAUACUACAAUCUGGUUGAAAAUAACUUCUAACUUCUGCAACUUUAUAUAUUGCAUCUAAACAACUUUUUAAAGUGUUUUUACAGCAAACACUAUCAAGAGUAACAACAUAAUUAUCAUACAAUUCUUCAUCUGGUUCAAAAUAGCUUCAAUUUUCUGCAGCUUUACAUAUAAUUUUUUUGUCUCUUCAUUAAUCUUCAUCAACUCUUCUUUAGUCUCUGCAAUCGUCCUUGAUAAGUUGGCUUUGAAUAUCUCUAACCCUUCACCUAUACUGUUUGAUGUUGGAGAGUUCACAUUUAUUGGAAUGCACCACCCAAGAAAUGACACACAUUUGUUAUCUCGACAGUAAUAAUACAACUUAUUUGGAUUACUAAUAGAUUCAGAUAUGCGAACCCCCGCUCUUUUUCCACAACAACAAUUCACAUUCAUGUAACCACCAUCCCAGCUUCCCAUCAAUUCGUUGAUGCCAGAUAUUCUUGUGAAGAUAGAAUGAAUCCUUUAGGUGCUUGAUCGUCGGCUAUUAGGAACGGAGGUAGAAUCCUUUCAGUGCUUGGUCGAUGUUGAAGGUAGUCCCUCACAGAGAGUGUGCUGAAGCUCGUCGAGGGUGAGAGAGUAAAUGGAGGAUUGCCUACCGAGAGAUGACGAGAGGUUGCUUUUAAGGUUGUGAUCGGACUGUUAUGGCAAAUCUAACCAUACAUUUCUACCUAAUAGGGAUUGAAAAGGGUAAAAUUGGAUUUUUAAAAUAUUCUCUCUCAUUUUCAUCUUAUUUUUAAUGGAAAAUAUGGUAACAGUGGAUGAAAGGACUGAUUUGUUAAUGGUUUGAUUAUGUAAGGACGUUUUAGUAGGUUUCUGAAAAUAUAGGGACUAACUUAUUAAUAAUGGUAAUAUCCAAAGACUAAAUUGUAAAUCUUUCUAAAUUCUAUUAAGUAAAAAAUAUUAAUUUUAAAUAAUUUAGAUCAACAUUAGUUCGAUGGGCUAUAAUUAAAAUAAUAUUUUAAAAUUUAAACACUAAAAAGUGUUAAAAAGAUUUUUUUUAUAAAAAUUAAAUUAUUUUUAAAGAAAAAUAAUUUAUUUUUUCAAAAGAUAAUUUAUUUUUAGAUUUUGAGAAUUUUUUAACACUAUUAUAUAUAAUUUUAUAAGUAUUUUUAUUUUUUAAAUGAUAAUUACAGAAUACAUAAUAAAUUCGACGUGAGUUUUUCUCUGUGAUCUUUUUGUAACUCGAUAUUCUCGCAUUUUCCUCUUCUUAAACCUAACUUCUUUCUCAUUUCCCAUAAAAGACAAUAUGUGUUGAUUGACUAUCACUGAAGAAGAAAAUAUUAUUAUCUUAUGUAGGGAUUUAAACAGACAUUUGAAAAAUAUUUUUAUCAAAUUAUUUCAUACAGGGAUUUGAUUUUGAAUGAUUGUAAAUAUUUGUUAGAUUACUGCUCAUAUUUUGGCUAAAAAAUCUAUUAGAUAUAAUAAUUUUUUUAUUUAGGAUGAUAUCUCUAUUUAUUUGAUGAAAUCUCGUUAAUACAAUUAGUAAUUUUAUUUUUAAAAAAAAAAACACAUAAUAAAUUAUUUUUUAAAAAAAUUAUUAAAAAUAAUUUUCAUAUUUAAAUUAUUUUCUGUGGUGUAAAUAAAUCUAUUUGAACCGAAUAAAAGUUAAUUAAAAUUUUAAAUGGCAGAUAUAAUGAUUGAUUGGACAGAUCAUUAAAGCAAUGGUAAAGGCAUUUUAUUAAAUUGGAAUUAAUUUAAAAAAAAUCUUUUUCGUAAGCAUAUGAAUAGAUUAAUUUACAUAUUUUAAAUGUUGGAUCAGUUUUUUUUAACGGCAAAAAAUUCGUAUUUUCAAAAUUAAUAAAGUAGCAAAAUUAUAAAAAAAAUUAUAAAUUAUAUAAAUUUUAAAAAAAUAAAUUCAAACGACACAAUUUAAUUAUAAUAUUUAUUUAAAUUCAUAAUAUUUCAAACAUAAUAAUAUUGCUAACAAAUAAAUUUCUUGAUUUUUCAAUCCCUCCACAAGUCAUAAUAUUUUUUAAAAAAACAAUCAUAAAUUUUUUUCCCUUUUAAUAAUUUUAUCCUAAUUUUUUUUCAUAAUAAAUUUAUUAUAAAUUAUGCUCACAUACUUAAUUUAAAAGUUAAUGCUAACUAGAAUUUAAUUUAAGUCUAAGAUUUCUUUAGAUGUGAAAAUAAUUUAUAUUUAACAUUAUUUUAAUAAAAUAACUCAUUUUUAAUUUUUUAAUUUUUUAAUUUAAAAAUAAAAUAUUUUAAUAAAUUUAUAUAUAUAUUAAAAAAGUCUUUUUUUUCCUGAAAUAAUUUUUUUUAUAAAAAAUAUUUUUUAUUAAUUAAUUUUUAAAAAAUAUUUUAAAUAUAAAAAUAAUUUUAAUAAAACAAUCGAAACCUAAAUAAUGAAUAAGGGUUGAUGUGACACUAGAGCGAUGUUUAAGAAAAGUAAUUAACAGUAUAGCAUACAAUUAAUUCAAUUAAACUAAAUUUGUUAAUGGAAAAUUAGAAAACAUUAUUAAAAAAUACACAAAAAUACUAAUUCAGCGUCGAUCAUAUCUCAUCCCUUGAAGGUAUCAUGAGUAGGAGUUUUUCAUGCAAAAAGCAAAGCAAAACUGUCUUGGUUUGCAAUUAUUGGCUUGUAUUGCUUUGUCAAUUGCCAUGCAUUUGAGAAUUUUUACAAAGCAACCGCUGUAUAGUUAACCCCAAUUUAUUGCUUCUUCUGUGCCAAUGGUCAAUAUAAAGACGAAGUUCCUGAUGAUUCAUCCUGCGAAUGCGAAGGUUCUCGGUCUUGUUUUUCAAUCUUUGAAGAGAAGGUUCAUCUUCCUUAUCUUCUUCAAUUCUGCUUCUCUUUUUAUCUCUGGAAAGACGAUCCUCUCGAAAUAUAGGAUGCACUCCACACAUUAUUAUAGAAUCGUAAUCACGAUCCACAUGAUAUUUUGGCUCGUACGAGUGCCUGGAAACGCAGAAUUGAAAGGAAGCUUCAAGGAAACUCUCUUCCAUGUCCAACAGUUUAUUCCAAAGGAACACAUGUUCUGAAUAUAAGGGAUCAAGUACAAAAUUCAGGGCCUCGAAAAUGAAAUUUUCACUGCUAUGUCCAGAUUUUCCGACGAAGUUAGCUAUGCAGCUAAUGUCUAUAAUAUGAUCAUGAGAAAAAACUUUUGGAUCAAAAACAGCACAUAAAGAAAAACCAGUCAAAUUUGCCUGAUCUAGUCUGAAUGAAAGAGAAGAUCCACUUUUGUUCUUAUAUCUCAUCGUUUCAGGCACUUCAACCCCCGGUAUGCAUAACUCAACAAUCUGUACCAUGGAAAUUAUAAAUUUUUUAAGAAAACUAAUAAUAAUAAACAAAAAUUGUACACUCAAAAGGGUUGAUUCUUGUAAGACCAGAGAAAGUAAGGCAUACCUUGUGUUUUAACAGAUGCGUAUUCAAUACAUCCUCCAUUACUUUAUCAUGCACGUUCUUAUCCAAAUUGAUGCAAUUAUGAAACUUAAGUCGUUUUGCUUCUUUUUCAUCAUCAUGUUCUAAGAAAAGGAAUGAAGUUGAUGCAGAUUCCAAAGAUGUGCAAUCUGAUGCAUCUAAAUCUUCUAAGCAUGACGGAAGCUCUGGUAAACAUUUAAGUCUCUUGCAACCUUUUAAUAAAAGCCCCCUCAACUCAGUUAGAUGUUUAAUGCUUGCAGGUGUCGCCUUGAAAUUGUUUCCACCUAAAAAUAAGUCUUCCAAUGACGUUAAAAACCAAACACUCCCACAGUCACUUAAAUCAAUUUCCCUCACACAGGACAGUCCUGUCAAAGGAGGCAAUGUCAAACCUUCACAUCUCGCACAUCUUAACUCUUCCAAUCUUCUCAAUUGAUUGAUGGAGGAUGGUAAUGUUUUUAUUCCACUUCCAGAUAUAUAAAGUUUCUUCAGCAAUUCUAGAUCCCCCAUGUUCUCUGGCAAUGCUUUGACAUUCAAACAGCCUGAGAUAUAAAGGUGUGUAAGAGAUUUCAAAUUGCAGAUGCUUUGUGGAAUACUAUGCAGUUUUGAGCAGUAUUCGAGAUCAAUUUCUUUUAGACAUUUAGACUCGCCAACGCUGCUAGGAAUCUCAAUCAAGUUGCUACAUCCUCUCAAACAUAAAACCUCAAGAUUCGGGGCACUUGACAAGUCUGGAACUUUAGUUAACUCAAAAGAGUAGCUGAGGUCUAAAAAUUUCAAACUUUCAAGAGCCUGUAAUCAAAACGUCAAUAAAAUUAGCAGAAGCUAAUUAACUUUGCACAAUGUAGCUAAAUUUUAUAAAGCAGCAUAAUAACUCUAACCUUCUCUUGAUUCCAGAGUUGGAUGAGGUUGCUGUCUGGCAUGCGAAGUUCUACAAGAUUUCUCGGGCAAAAAUUUAUUGGCAAGGAUUUCAAAGGGUAGUCUUCCCAAUGAUAAUAUCUUAGCUCCUCUGGUAGAAAUUCAAGGCCACUAGGUAGAAGCACUCGUCCUGGUCCGGAUGUAGAAACAUUGAAGAAUUUGAGGAAUCUAAGAUUGCACAUGUUCAUGAAAGCUGUGGGACUUAGCUCCAAAUAUCCAUUUCCAGACAUAUCAAGUAAUAUGCCUUCAAUAUUUUCAGUUCCCUAAGAAAAUAACAACAAACAUUAUAGGCACUGAACUUAAUUCUUAAAACUGCAUAUAAAUAAUAUGUAUGUAUAAUUAAGAAUAUGCACAUUAAUUCUUUUGGUC
This 46303-nucleotide long non-coding RNA is filed under the name Manihot esculenta (cassava). Its description in RNAcentral is "long non-coding RNA (MESC_LNC006240)". Lineage: Eukaryota; Viridiplantae; Streptophyta; Magnoliopsida; Malpighiales; Euphorbiaceae. The record is from RNAcentral.